UUUUUUUGUUUUCUUUGUUGCUUUAUUUAUUUUAUUUUGUGAUUAACAUUACUAUAAAAAUAGUUUUUUCCUGUUUUUUUGAUUUGUUUUUUGCAUUAUUUAUUUACUUUUGUUUUUUGCUUUAAUUUUUAAUUCUGUUUGCUUUUAGGUUAGCAAAAUUAUAAACUUUCUGUUAGUGCCAUUAGUUUUAGAAAAAUUAUAAACUUUCUGUUAGUGCCAUUAGUUUUAAAAUUUGAAUAGUUAAAAUUUGAAUUCUUUGAAAAUUGUUUGAAUCACAAGUUUGUGAUUAACUUACUAAAAAAAUGAUAAUAGAUGCGCUUAUAGAGAAAAUUCAACCUAAAUUCCUAGUAAAUUUCUAUGAAUUUUAGAGAAAUUCACUAUGAAUUUAAGUUAAACUUUUCUCUAUUAGGGCAUCUAUUUUCACUUUGAGAGGAGCUCAACAAGGCAGAGAGGGAAGGGCUUAUAAACCGGUGUGAGCCCCCUUCGGUUGGCGAGGUGGGACUAAACUCUGUCCGCAACGAGGACCAACCCUUUAGUCCCGGUUUGUGGCACAAACCGGACUAAUGGUCAUGGGCCAGGGGCGAGGAGCAAAAUUAUAAACUUUCUGUUAGUGCCAUUAGUUUUAGAAAGUUGAAAGUUGAAAGUUGGCAUGGGCCAGGGACUAAUGGUCAUGGUAUUACGAGGGCCGAACCAUAAGACAUGAAAGCAUUUCAAAUGAACUCUGAAAAAGUUGAAAGUUGGCAUGGUAUCACAAUUUCACCCACAUAGCAUGUGCAUGUACAAAACGGACAAUGGUAGCAUGUUCGUGUGUUACAAAGUUGGCAUGGUAUCAUCAUAAUAGUUGCGGGAGAAAGUCUUCACUUUUUCUUCGCUUGGAUCAUUUGCUUAUUGCGCCGUAACCAUGGAUAAUCUUCAUUGUUUAUCAGGAUGCUUGGGUCAGCCUUGAAAUUAAAGGGAGGAAUUUCAUGAAACUUUUCAUAAUCUUUAGACAUGUCUGUCUUGCCGUCCACUCCCAGGAUGUCCCUUUUUCCUGAAAGAACUAUGUGGCGCUUUGGCUCAUCGUAUGAUGUAUUCGCUUCCUUAUCUUUUCUUUUUCUCGGUUUGGUAGACAUGUCCUUCACAUAGAUAACCUGUGCCACAUCAUUGGCUAGGACGAACGGUUCGUCAAUGUACCAAAGAUUUUUUAGAUCCACUGUUGUCAUUCCGUACUGUGGGUCUACCUGUACCCCGCCACCUAACAGAUUGACCCAUUUGGACUUAAACAAAGGGACCUUAAAAUCAGGUCCGUAGUCAAGUUACCAUAUGUCCACUAUGUAACCAUAAUAUGUGUCCUUUCCGCUCUCGGUUGCUGCAUCAAAGCGGACACCGCUGUUUUGGUUGGUGCUCUUUUGAUCUUGGGCGAUCGUGUAAAAUGUAUUCCCAUUUAUCUCGUAUCCUUUGUAAGUCAAUACAGUCAAAGAUGGUCCCCUGGACAACAAGUACAACACAUCACAAACAGUGUUGUCACCUCUGAGACGUGUUUCGAACCAACUGCUGAAAGUCCUGAUGUGUUCACAUGUAAUCCAAUCGUUGCACUGCUCCGGGUGUUUGGAGCGCAGACUGUUCUUGUGUUCAUCGAUAUACGGGGUCACCAAGGUAGAGUUCUGUAGAAUUGUGUAGUUUUCUUGAGACCAAGAAUAUUCGUCCCUGCAUAUUAUUGAGUCUCUUCCAAGAGUGCCUUUUCCAGUCAGUCUCCCCUCAUACCGCGAUUUAGGAAGACCUAUCUUCCUAAGGCCAGGAAUGAAGUCAACACAAAACCCGAUAACAUCCUCUGUUUGAUGGCCCAUGGAGAUGCUUCCUUCUGGCCUAGCGCGGUUACGGACAUAUUUCUUUAGGACUCCCAUGAACCUCUCAAAGGGGAACAUAUUGUGUAGAAAUACGGGCCCCAGGAUGACAAUCUCGUCGACUAGAUGAACUAGGACGUGCGUCAUGAUAUUGAAGAAAGAUGGUGGGAACACCAGCUCGAAACUGACAAGACAUUGCGCCACAUCACUCCUUAGCCUUGGUACGAUUUCUGGAUCAAUCACCUUUUGAGAGAUUGCAUUGAGGAAUGCACAUAGCUUCACAAUGGAUAAUCAGACGUUUUCCAGCAGAAGCCCCCUCAAUGCAACCGGAAACAGUUGCGUCAUAAUCACGUGGCAGUCAUGAGACUUUAGGUUCUGAAACUUUUUCUCUGGCAUAUUUAUUAUUCCCUUUAUAUUCGACGAGAAGCCAGUCGUGACCUUCAUACUAAGCAGGCAUUCAAAGAAGAUUUCUUUCUCUUCUUUCGUAAGAGCGUAGCUGGCAGGACCUUUAUACUGCUUCAGAGGCAUGCCGUCUUUUUCGUGCAAACGUUGCAGGUCCUCCCGUGCCUCAAGUUUAUCUUUUGUCUUCCCAUACACGCCCAAGAAGCCUAGUAGGUUCACGCAAAGGUUCUUCGUCACGUGCAUCACGUCGAUUGAGGAGCGGACCUCUAGGUCUUUCCAGUAGGGUAGGUCCCAAAAUAUAGAUUUCUUCUUCCACAUGGGUGCGUGUCCCUCAGCGUCAUUCGGACCAGCUAGUCCACCGGGACCCUUUCCAAAGAUUACGUAGUGUAAAUCAUUGACCAUAGCAAGCACGCGAUCACCGGUGUGCAUGGCGGGCUUCUUCCGGUGAUUUGCCUCACCUUUGAAAUGCUUGCCUUUCUUUCGACAUUGAUGGUUGGUCGAAAGAAAUCGACGAUGGCCCAGGUACACAUUCUUCCUGCAUUUGUCCAGGUAUAUACUUUCAGUGUCAUCUAAACAGUGUGUGCAUGUGUGGUAUCCUUUGUUUUUCUGUCCUGAAAGGUUACUGAGAGCGGGACAAUCAUUGAUGGUCACGAACAACAACGCCUUAAGGUUAAAUUCCUCCUGUCUGUGCUCAUCCCACGUACGUACACCAUUUCCAUUCCACAGCUGUAAAAGUUCUUCAACUGAUGGCCUUAGGUACACAUCAAUUUCGUUGUCGGGUUGCUUAGGGCCUUGGAUGAGAACUGGCAUCAUAAUGAACUUCCGCUUCAUGCACAUCCAAGGAGGAAGGUUAUACAUACAUAGAGUCACGGGCCAGGUGCUGUGAUUGCUGCUCUGCUCCCCGAAAGGGUUAAUGCCAUCCGCGCUUAAAGCAAACCAUACAUUCCUUAGGUCCUUUGUAAACUCAUCCCAGUACUUUCUCUCGAUUUUUCUCCACUGCGACCCGUCAGCGGGUGCUCUUGACUUCCCAUCUUUCUUUCGGUUCUCACUGUGCCAUCGCAUCAACUUGGCAUCCUCUUCGUUUCUGAACAGACGUUUCAACCGUGGUAUUAUAGGAGCAUACCACAUCACCUUCGCAGGAACCCUCUUCCUGGGGGGCUCGCCGUCAACAUCACCAGGGUCAUCUCGUCUGAUCUUAUACCGCAAUGCACCGCAUACCGGGCAUGCGUUCAAAUCCUUGUAUGCACCGUAGUAGAGGAUGUAGUCAUUAGGGCAUGCAUGUAUCUUCUCCACCUCCAAUCCUAGAGGGCAUACGACCUUCUUUGCUGCGUAUGUACUGUCGGGCAUUUCGUUAUCCUUUGGAAGCUUCUUCUUCAAUAUUUUCAGUAGCUUCUCAAAUCCUUUGUCAGCCACAGCAUUCUCUGCCUUCCACUGCAGCAAUUCCAGUACAGUACCGAGCUUUGUGUUGCCAUCUUCGCAAUUGGGGUAUAACCCUUUUUUUGAUCCUCUAACAUGCGAUCGAACUUCAGCUUCUCCUUUUGACUUUCGCAUUGCGUCCUUGCAUCGACAAUGACCCGGUGGAGAUCAUCAUCAUCGGGCACAUCGUCUGGUUCCUCUUGAUCUUCAGCAGCUUCACCCGUUGCAGCAUCAUUGGGCACAUCGUCUGGUUCCUCUUGAUCUUCACCAGCUCCCCCCCGUUGCAACAUCACCGUAUUCAGGGGGCACAUAGUUGUCAUCGUACUCUUCUUCUUGGAUGUCUUCCAUCAUAACCCGUAUUUCUCCGUGCCUCGUCCAAACAUUAUAGUGUGGCAUGAAACCCUUGUAAAGCAGGUGGGAGUGAAGGAUUUUCCGGUUAGAGUAAGACCUCGUAUUCCCACAUUCAGUGCAUGGACACCACAUAAAACCAUUCUGCUUGUUUGCCUCAGCCGCAUCGAGAAACUCAUGCACGCCCUUAAUGUACUCGCGGGUGUGUCUGUCACCGUACAUCCAUUGCCGGUUCAUCUGCGUGCAUUAUAUAUAAUUAAGUUCAUCAUCACAUUAAAACCAAAGUGCAUACAUAGUUCUCAUCUAACAACAUAUAGCUCUCCAGAGCAUCUAAUUAAUUAAACCAUACAUUGAAACUAUGUAAAACAUUUCAAUGCGAAAACAAAUGCGAUCAUAAUCGCAACCAAGGUAACAAUUGAUCCAACGGCAUAAUGAUACCAAGCCUCAGUAUGAAUGGUAUAUUUUCUAAUCUUUCUAAUCUUCAAGCGCAUUGCAUCCGUCUUGAUCUUGUGAUCAUCGACGACAUCCGCAACAUGCAACUCCAAUAUCAUCUUCUCCUCCUUAAUUUUUUUUAUUUUUUCCUUCAACAAAUUGUUUUCUUCUUCAACUAAAUUUAACCUCUCGACAAUAGGGUCGGUUGGCAUUUCCGAUUCACAUACAUCCUACAUAAAUAAAAUCUAUGUCACGUUGGUCGGCAUAAUUUUCAUAAACAAUAAAUGAACCAAUAGUUAUAAAGAUAAUAUAUAUACCACAUCCGAAUCAUAGACAGGACGAGGGCCGACGGGGGCGGAUACCAAAAGCAUUGCACUAUAUAAGAUGCAAUAAUAAAAGUAAGAAAAUAAUACAAGUAUCUAUCUAAACAUACAAGUAAGAAUAUUUUUCCUUUCAGAAAGAAGAUAAGAACAAGAGGCUUACCACGGUGGUGCCGGCGAUGAGCUCGCCGCGGGUGAUCGACGGCGGUGAAGACGGGGACGGGGCGUGACGGACCGCUAAACCUAGACAAAUAUUAUGGAAAAUGGAGCUUGGAGGUCGAGCUUGGAGAGGAGAAAGUUUAAGUAGUGUGGCUCGGGCAUUCCAUCGAACACCUUGUGUGCAUAGGAGGUGAGCUAGAGCACCACCAAGCCCUCUCCCCCUUGGCCAGAGAAAAACAGAGCACUGGGGUGCUCUGCUCGCGAGCGAGGGGUAUAUAUAGGCACCUCAUUGAUCCCGGUAGGUGACAUGAGCCGGGACUAAAGGGGAGUCUUUGGUCCCGGUUCAAGCAAUCAACCGGGACCAAUGGUGGUGGGCCAGGAGCGAGGCCCAUUGGUCCCGGUUCAUCCCACCAACCGGGACCAAAAGGUCCAGAUGAACCGGGACCAAUGGCCCACGUGGCCCGGCCGGCCCCCUAGGCUCACGAACCGGGACCAAUGCCCACAUUGGUCCCGGUUCUGGACUGAACCGGGACUAAUGGGCUGACCCGGCCUGGAUCAAAGCCCUGUUUUCUACUAGUGUAUCAGGAGGAGACAAAGACCAUUUUAUUUUUUCAGAAAGAAAAGAAGCAGAGGAUUUGCUGCAGUGCAAUUACUUGACGGGAGAACCUAAAUGAUUCAGACAGCAAUGCCCGUGCAUUCAUUUUUAUGAAUACCAGUACACGCACCCAGCCUUUAUGAGCGACUUUCGCAUUCAUGUAAAUUUGAACUGAUACAAUAGCCAGUACACAAAUAUCAGCCAAUGUGAUGAGCUUACUCGACGCAAUUCCGGAUCAUCUACUUUUGGUAACUCAGAAUGGCGUAGGCCGUCUGCAGCAUCGCCGGCACAAUGAUCAGCGCAGCCACUACGGCGAGCGAGACGGCCACCCAUGGAGAAGGGAAGAAGUGCAGUAUGAAGUCUCCGUACCACCUGCUUGACCGCCUCCUCCUGUGCCGCGCCACCGCGCUGAGCAUCUCGCCGUACUCUUGAGGCAUGCGCACCCCGGCCGCCUCCGCGACGAUGCCACGGAAGAAAUCCACCACCUCCUCGUCGGUGUACUUUACGCUACCGAGUGCCCACCGGCGGCGAAGCAGCGCCGCGUCCUGCGGGCACCGUAUGAGGCCCUCCAUGCGCGCCACGUGCGCCGUCACGCAGACGCCGUGCGCCCGUUGGAAGUGCUUCUCGAAAGCCACCAUGUUGUGGAGCAACGCCGCGGUGUAGGCGAGGAUGUGGAAGCUCGGGAUGGUCAUCACCGCCACCGGGCUCGCCGCCGUGCUCCAGAACUGCAUGUCGAGGUCGCCGCCGUGCCUCUCCCUCGCGUCCAGCUUGGCCUUCCUGAACCACACUGCCGACAGCUGCAGCUCCCUGGCGCAAGGGAUGAGCCACUCCGACUCCUCCUUGGCCUCGAGAAGCUUUAAUGGCGUGGAGAGGACGCGGUACUUGUUCUCCGGCACGCGCGACCAGUGGAAGAGGUUUGCUGGAGCGGCAAGUCGAUGACCUUCCCGCGCGCCCUCCUCGGACAGAUGCCGUCGAAGCAGCCAAGCACCAGCUCCUCGACUGAGCGUAGCUUCAGAACGCAGCACGAGGCUGCGAGCAGCUUGACGACGGCGAAGGGGAUCUGAUUUUCCAGCACGAGCAGGUCGAGCAUGAUCUCGUCGGCGUACUGCGACACGGCCGUGUACAGUAUGAAGUGCUCCCUGGUAACGGGCACCGCCGCCCGUUCCUCCCCGCUGCCGGCCUUGCUGAACAUGAUGCUGAAGACGAGGACGAAGCUGCUGUCGAGGAGGAGCAUCUUCACGAACUUCUCCUCGUCCAGGAGCCAAUCCGCGGCGACCGAAUCCGCGUCGUCGGCGAACUCGUCGCGAAAGCUGCCGCGCGCCGCCCCGAGCGCCGCGACGUACUGCUCGACGUCUAGCCCGCACCGGUCCUGCAGGCACCGCAGGAACGGCAGCUUGGCCUCGUCGUCAAAGGCGAGGCCUCGGUCGCCGCGGUGGUACGGGCCAAUGGCCACAGCGCGCACCGUGUGUAGCGCCUUCACGUUGGCGCGCCGGGUGCGCGGCCGGAGGAUGGUGGCCGCGCGCUCGCCGAGGAACCACAGCAUCGGCGUACGGCCGAUGAGCUCGUUCAGGACGGCCGAGCUACGUGACGCCGAUGUGAGCUCGCGCAGCCACCCCGUGUGGAUCUCGCCGCCGCCGCUCUGAUUUACAGCAAUAUUCCUGCCGGUGGUUGGACUAAGAGCAAUGUCAAUGCUCAGCUCAUGGCUUGUGCUCAUUGUGAAUUUUGUGAUUCAUCACUCCGUGUUCAUCUGGAAAAUUAUGGUACUCCUCUAUGUAAAGUUGACUUGGGGAAUACCCUGGAAACUGAAGCGGGGCUUGCUGAGCAUCAGAAAUUCAGCGGAAAAAAAUCCUUUGACCAGACACCAUGAUGACGGCGUUUCAUUUCUUGGUUGGCCCAUCUUAGCCGUUUACAAUCGAUCAAGUGGUGCGUGGUGACAACGCACGGGAAGUAUUUUAUUUCUGCCAGCGACUAUGGCUCAAUUGAUUUAGUCUAGUUCUUCUUGGGAACACAAUGCUUUUCUGAUCAUCAAUCAUGUAGGAGAAGUUCAGCGACUCUCCUAUGUUCAGUUUCGGGACGUUUUUUCCGUCCGGAACAGAUCCUGUAAUAUUGGCCGUUCACUAAAUCUUUUUGCGGGAUCCUCCAAAGUCCGGGCCGAUUCCGUCAUAUCUAAGGUUUCCCUCCCUUUUUUUGCUGGUUCCCCUAUCUCUCCCACGUCUUGGCGCAAAGGAAGUUUCAACUCGCGCAUCUUCCCCUCUACCGCCGCAUCUCCCUGUGGUCUCUUAAGCUUGCUGCCCCCGGCCGCCCUGCGCUGUGUGAUGGUGUCCUGGAUUAGGGGCGCUAACCACGUCGGCCCCUUUAUAGUGUGUCGGGCUGAGGACCUCUGGAUCAUCAACAAUUGGGCCAAGACUGCCAUGCGCUUCGAAGUUCUCAAGAUGGAAUCUUCCGAAUGCUUGGCGCAUACUCCAAGAUACAUUUGAAUUAUCAGCAUGUUUAUCCCUAGAUGUAACCGACCUCUUGUAUAUCCUAGGUACCACCGGUCCCUAUAUAAGCCAUGGGUUUUUAGCUUGUAGGGUAGAGAAUCAUUCAUACGCAUACGAUCUCAAGUUAGAUCAUCUUGUAAUUUGUACUCCAACACAACCAAUACAACAGAAGCAGGACAUAGGGUUUUACCUCUUCAAGAGGGCCCGGGGUAAACAUCGUGUCUCUUGUUCAUUCUGUUACCAUCAAGCUAGGAUCACCAAUUCAGUACCCCUACCCGAACCAUACACCGUGCAGUACCUCCGCCGCCCCUGCCGCACCUUCUCGACCAAUUUCGGAGGCCGGGGGGGGGGGCAUUUUCCCCCACGGCGAGCGGCCGCUAGCACCAUGGAUCCGGCCCGGAGCUUGCCGCGCGGCCUUCUAGCCGGCGGGUCCGGUUGGUUCCGACGCCGGUGAGCCUCAGAAUCGCUCAGGGACAGCCACGUACACCGGCUCCACGGUUUGUGGCCGUGGCGAAGAAGGGGCUUGGCCGAUUUACUUCAGCCGGCACCGAAGAAGAAAGGGCUGGCUCACUUGAUUCUGGCUGGCAGAAUUGCAUCCGCGGAAGGUAAGUUCAAUGCCCGAUGAUUUAUUGAUUCAAUUUUGAUUGGCGACAUUUAGGAAAAAUCAUGGGUGUGCAUUUAAUUUUUUUAGAUGGAUGCUUGGAGUUCGUCGUCGUCAUUUUCAUCGGAUGAUUCUGAUAGAGAGGAGAUGCUUUUAGACGACGAUGUUGACAACCUAGUGUUGUUGCAUCUGGUGGACAAAUUUGAGAAGGGCCCCAAGAGAAAGUGCCAGAGAUCCAUGGUUGGCCGGCUAUGCAUUUCACGUAACCGAGCUCUAGAUAACAAGAUGCUCGUGAAGGACUAUUAGUAAGAAAAGGGUUUUCCCCCCCUUUAUAUUAUAAAGCAAACCACCACUACAUUGAUCCAAGUACAGAAGAGGAACGGACUAACAGAAAAAACAGCAAAUAUACAAGAUGCCAAAAGAGCCGCUAACAAACAUCGAAUGCCCAAGCGUUGGCUUGAGCAUCGAGGCUUUCGGCGAACAAGAUCAUGCAGACGACUUGAUACGUCUCCAAUGUAUCUAUAAUUUUUGAUUGCUCCAUGCUAUAUUAUCUACUGUUUUGGACUAUAUUGGGCUUUAUUUUCCACUUUUAUAUUAUUUUUGGGACUAACCUAUUAACCGGAGGCCCAGCCCAGAAUUGCUGUUUUUUUGCCUAUUUCGGUGUUUCGAAGAAACGGAAUAUCAAACGGAGUCCAAACGGAAUAAAAUCUUCGGGAACGUGAUUUUCUCAUCGAACGUGAUCCAGGAGACUUGGACCCUGCUCCAAGGAACAAAAGAGGCGGUCACGAGGGUGGCCCCCCCCCAGGGCGCGCCCCCUGCCUCGUGGGCCCCUCGUUGAUCCUCCGACGUACUUCUUCCUCCUAUAUAUACACACGUACCCCCAAACGAUCAGAACAGGAGCCAAAAACCUAAUUCCACCGCCGCAACUUUCUGUAUCCACGAGAUCCCAUCUUGGGGCUUGUUCCGGAACUCCACCGGAAGAGGGCCGUCAUCACGGAGGGCUUCUACAUCAUCAUAGCCUCUCCGGUGAAGUGUGAGUAGUUUACUUCAGACCUUCGGGUCCAUGGUUAGUAACUAGAUGGCUUCUUCUCUCUCUUUGAAUCUCAAUACAAAGUUCUCCCCCUCUCUCGUGGAGAUCUAUUCGAUGUAAUCUUCUUUUUGCGGUGUGUUUGUUGAGAUCGAUGAAUUGUGGAUUUAUGAUCAAGUCUAUCUAUGAAUAAUAUUUGAAUCUUCUCUGAAUUCUUUUAUGCAUGAUUGGUUAUCUUUGCAAGUCUCUUUGAAUUAUCCGUUUGGUUUGGCCAACUAGAUUGGUAGUUCUUGCCAUGGGAGAAGUGCUUAGCUUUGGGUUCGAUCUUGCGGUGUCCUUACCCAGUGACAGAAGGGGCAGCAAGGCACGUAUUGUAUCAUUGCCAUCGAGGAUAACAAGAUGGGAUUUAUUUCAUAUUGCAUGAAUUUAUCUCUCUACAUCAUGUCAUCUUGCUUAAGGCAUUACUGUGUUUUUAACUUAAUACUCUAGAUGCAUGCUAGAUAGCGGUCGAUGAGUGGAGUAAUAGUAGUAGAUGCAGAAUCGUUUCGAUCUACUUGUCACGGAUGUGAUGCCUAUAUACAUGAUCAUGCCUAGAUAUUCUCAUAAUUAUGCACAAUUCUAUAUAUUGCUCAACAGUAAUUUGUUCACCCACCGUAGAAUACUUAUGCUCUUGAGAGAAGCCACUAGUGAAACCUAUGGCCCCCGGGUCUAUUCUCAUCAUAUCAAUCUCCAUCACUUUUAUAUUGUUUUGCUAUUUACUUUGCCUUUACUUUUUACUUUGCAUCUUCAUAUUAAAAAUACAAAAAAUAUUCUAUCUAUCGGAUCUCACUCUUGUAAGUGACCGUGAAGGGCUUGACAACCCCUAAUCGCGUUAGUUGCGAGUAGCUGUCGCUUUGUGCAGGUACGAGGGACUUGAGCGUGGGCUCCUACUGGAUUGAUACCUUGGUUCUCAAAAACUGAGGGAAAUACUUACGCUACUCUGCUGCAUCAUCCCUUCCUCUUCAGGGAAAACCAACGCAAGCUCAGGACGUAGCAAGAAGGAUUUCUAGCGCCGUUUCCGGGGAGAUUCACGCCAAGUCAAGUCAAGAUUUGACUCCCGACAACGAGCCAUUUCUGGCGCCGUUGCCGGGGAGCCUACGCAAAAAGUCAACAUACCAAGUACCCAUCACAAUCCCUAUCUCUCGCAUUACAUUAUUUGCCAUUUGCCUCUCAUUUUCCUCUCCCCCCAAUUCACCAUUGCCGUUUUAUUUGCCCUCUCUCUCUAUCCUCCCUCUCUAUUUGCCUCUUUUUGCUCGUGUGUUAGAUUGCUUGCUUGUCGCGAUGGCUCAAGAUACUACCAAAUUGUGUGACUUCACCAAUACCAAUAAUAAUGAUUUCCUUAGCACUCCGAUUGCUCCUCUUACCGAUGCUGAAUCUUGUGAAAUUAAUACUGCUUUGUUGAAUCUUGUUAUGAAAGAUCAAUUCACCGGCCUUCCUAGUGAAGAUGCCGCUACUCAUCUGAAUAGCUUCGUUGAUUUAUGUGAUAUGCAAAAGGAAAAGGAAGUCAAUAAUGAUGUCGUUAAAUUGAAGCUAUUUCCUUUUUCGCUUAGAGAUCGUGCUAAAGCUUGGUUUUCGUCUUUACCUAAGAAUAGUAUUGAUUCAUGGAACAAGUGCAAAGAUGCUUUUAUCUCUAAGUAUUUUCCUCCCGCUAAGAUCAUCUCUCUUAGAAACGAUAUUACGAACUUUAAACAACUUGAUCAUGAACAUGUUGCACAAUCUUGGGACAGAAUGAAAUUAAUGAUACGUAAUUGCCCUACUCAUGGUUUGAAUUUGUGGAUGAUUAUACAAAAAAUUUAUGCCAGAUUGAAUUUUGCUUCUAGAAAUCUUUUAGAUUCGGCCGCGGGAGGCACUUUUAUGGAAAUCACUGUAGGAGAUGCUACUAAACUCCUAGAUAAUGUUAUGGUUAAUUAUUCUCAAUGGCAUACUGAAAGAACAUCUAAUAAAAAAGUGCAUGCGAUAGAAGAAAUUAAUGUGUUGAGUGGAAAGAUGGAUGAACUUAUGAAAUUAUUUGCUUCUAAAAGUGUUUCUUCUGAUCCUAAUGAUAUACCUUUGUCUACUUUGAUUGAGAAUAACAAUGAAUCUAUGGAUGUGAAUUUUGUUGGUAAGAAUAACUUUGGUAACAACGCUUAUAGAGGGAAUUUUAAUCCUAGGCCAUAUCCUAGUAAUCCUUCUAAUAAUUAUGGGAAUUCCUACAACAACUCUUAUGGAAAUUAUAAUAAGAUACCCUCUGAUUUUGAAUCUAAUAUUAAAGAAUUUAUUUCUUUGCAAAAGAAUUUUAAUGCUAUGAUUGAAGAAAAAUUGCUUAAGAUUGAUGAUUUGGCUAGGAACGUUGAUAGAAUUGCUCUUGAUGUUGAUGAUUUGAAACUUAGAUCUAUUCCACCUAAGCAUGAUAUUAAUGAGUCUCUAAAAGCCAUGAGAAUUUCAAUUGAUGAGUGUAAAGAAAGAACCGCUAGGAUGCGUGCUUCCAAAGAUGCCUUUAUUAAAGCGUGUUCUUCCAAUUCCUAUGAAAGUAAUGAUGAAGAUCUAAAAGUUAUUGAUGUGUCUCCAAUUAAAUCUUUGUUUUGCAAUAUGAAUCUUGAUGAAACUGAAUAUGAUCUUCCUUUACCUAGAAGGCGUUCUAAAAAUUUGGAGUGUUUAGAUCUUAAUGAUGAAAUUGAUGAAAGUGGGAUGGAAAGAAAUAAAAAUCUAGAUGUUGCUAAACCCACUAUAUUGGAUUUCAAGGAAUUUAGUUAUGAAAAUUGAUCUUUAAUUGAUUGUAUUUCCUUGUUGGAAUCCGUGCUAAAUUCUCCAUAUGCUUAUAGUCGAAAUAAAGCCUUUACCGAACAUAUUGUUGAUGCCUUGAUGCAAUCCUAUGAAGAAAAACUUGAGUUGAAAGUUUCUAUCCCUAGAAAACUCUAUGAUGUGUGGGAACCAACUAUUAAAAUUAAAAUUAAAGAUCAUGAGUUUUAUUCUUUGUGUGAUUUGGGUGCUAGUGUCUCUACUAUUCCCAAGACUUUGUGUGAUUUACUAGAUUUCCGUAAUUUUGAUGAUUGCUCUCUAAACUUGCAUCUUGCGGAUUUCACUAUCAAGAAACCUAUGGGAAGAAUUAAUGAUGUUCUUAUUGUUGCAAAUAGGAAUUAUGUGCCCAUAGAUUUCAUUGUUCUUGAUAGAGAUUGCAAUCCUUAUUUCCCUAUUAUUCUUGGUAGACCUUUCCUUAGAACGGUUGGUGCGAUUAUUGAUAUGAAGGAAGGGAAUAUUAGAUUUCAAUUUCCAUUAAAAAGGGCAUGGAACACUUUCCAAGAAAGAAAAUAAAAUUACCAUAUGAAACUAUCAUGAGGGCCACUUAUGGAUUGCCUACCAAAGAUGGCAAUACCUAGAUCUAUUCUUGCUUGUUAUGCCAAGCUAGGGGCGUUAAACGAUAGCGCUUGUUGGGAGGCAACCCAAUUUUAUUUUUAUUCCUUGCUAUUUGCUCCUGUUUAGUAAUAAAUAAAUUAUUUAGCCUUUGUUUUGGUUGUGUUUUUUGUGUUUAAUUAGUGUUUGUGCCAAGUAGAACCGUUGGCAAGACUUGGGGAAAGUCUUGUUGAACUUGCUGUAAAAAAAAGAAACUUUAGCGCUCACGAGAACUGCUGUCAUUUUUAUUUGAAGAGUUCUAUUGUUGGGUUACGUAGUAAUUUCAAAAAAAUUCCUACGCACACGCAAGAUCAUGGUGAUGCAUAGCAACGAGAGGGGGAGAGUGUGAUCUACGUACCCUUGUAGAUCGACAACGGAAGCGUUAACUUGGUUGAUGUAGUCGUACGUCUCCACGGCCCGACCGAUCAAGCACCGAAACUACGACACCUCCGAGUUCUAGCACACGUUCAGCUCGAUGAUGAUCCCCAGACUCCGAUCCAGCAAAGUGUCGGGGAAGAGUUCCGUCAGCACGACGGCGUGGUGACGAUCUUGAUGUUCUACUGUCGUAGGGCUUCGCCUAAGCACCGCUACAAUAUUAUCGAGGACUAUGGUGGAAGGGGGCCCCGCACAUGGCUAAGAAUAUGAUCACGUGGAUCAACUUGUGUCUAUGGGGUGCCUCUUGCCUCCAUAUAUAAAGGAUCCAAGGGGGGUGCGGCCGGCCCUAGUAGGAGGCGCGCAGGAGGAGUCCUACUCCUACCGAGAGUAGGACUCCCCUCCCUUUCCUUGUCCAAGUAGGAGAGGGGGAAGGAAGGGAGAGAGGAGAGGGGGGCGCCGCCCCUCCCUCCUUGUCCAAUUCGGACUAGGGGAGAGGGGGCGCACGGCCUGCCCUGGCAGCCCCUCCUCUUCUCCACUUUAGGCCCAUGAGGCCCAUUAACCCCCCCCCCCCGGGGGGUUCCGGUAACCCCACGGUGCUCCGCUUUUAUCCGAAACUUCCCCGGAACACUUCCGGUGUCCGAAUAUAGCCGUCUAAUAUAUCAAUCUUCAUGUCUCGACCAUUUCGAGACUCCUCAUCAUGUUCGUGAUCACAUCCGGGACUCCGAACUAACUUCGGUACAUCAAAACUCAUAAACUCAUAAUAUAACUGUCAUCGAAACCUUAAGCGUGCGGACCCUACGGGUUCGAGAACAAUGUAGACAUGACCGAGACACGUCUCCGGUCAAUAACCAAUAGCGGAACCUGGAUGCUCAUAUUGGCUCCUACAUAUUCUACGAAGAUCUUUAUCGGUCAGACCGCAUAACAACAUACGUUGUUCCCUUUGUCAUCGAUAUGUUACUUGCCCGAGAUUCGAUCGUCGGUAUCUCAAUACCUAGUUCAAUCUCGUUACUGGCACGUCUCUUUACUCGUUCCGUAAUACAUCAUCUUGCAAAUAACUCAUUAGUUGCAAUGCUUGCAAGGCUUAUGUGAUGUGUAUUACUGAGAGGGCCCAGAGAUACCUCUCUGACAAUCGGAGUGACAAAUCCUAAUCUCGAAAUACGCCAACCCAACAUGUACCUUUGGAUACACAUGUAGAGUACCUUUAUAAUCACCCAUUUACGUUGUGACGUUUGGUAGCACACAAAGUGUUCCUCUGGCAAACGGGAGUUGCAUAAUCUCAUAGUCAUAGGAACAUGUAUGAGUCAUGAAGAAAGCAAUAGCAACAUACUAAACGAUCGGGUGCUAAGCUAAUGGAAUGGGUCAUGUCAAUCAGAUCAUUCACCUAAUGAUGUGAUCCCGUUAAUCAAAUAACAACUCUUUGUCCAUGGUUAGGAAACAUAACCAUCUUUGAUUAACGAGCUAGUCAAGUAGAGGCAUACUAGUGACACUGUGUUUGUCUAUGUAUUCACACAUGUAUUAUGUUUCCGGUUAAUACAAUUCUAGCAUGAAUAAUAAACAUUUAUCAUGAUAUAAGGAAAUAAAUAAUAACUUUAUUAUUGCCUCUAGGGCAUAUUUCCUUCAUCUAUUUAGUUAAUUCUUUUUGCAGAUGAUUAAUAGAUAAAUUCCUCACGUCCAGAAAUUUAUUUUAGAAUUUUUGGGGUUACAGAUCUUGCGCUAGCUACAGAUUACUACAGACUAUUCUGUUUUUGACAGAUUCUGUUUUUCGUGUGUUGUUUGCUUAUUUUGAUGAAUCUAUGGCUAGUAAAAUAGUUUAUAAUACAUAGAGAAGUUGUAAUACAGUAGGUUUAACACCCAUAUAAAUAAAUAAUGAGUUCAUUACAGUACCUUGAAGUGGUCUUUUGUUUUCUUUCGCUAACGGAGCUCACGAGUUUUCUAUUUUGAGUUUUGUGUUGUGAAGUUUUCAUGUUUUGGGUGAAUUCUUUUGAUGGAUCAUGGAACAAGGAGUGGCAAGAGCCUAAGCUUGGGGAUACCCAUGGCACCCCCAAGAUAAUCUAAGGACACCAAAAAGUUAAAGCUUGGGGAUGCCCCGGAAGGCAUCCCCUCUUUUCGUCCACUUCCAUCGGUAAUUUACUUGGAGCUAUAUUUUUAUUCACCAACAUGAUAUGUGUUUUGCUUGGAGCGUCUUGUAUUAUUUGUGUCUUUGUUUGCUAGUAUACCACAAUCAUACUUGCUGUACACACCUUUUGAGAGAGCCAUACAUGAAUUAAAAUUUGAUAGAAUACUCUAUGUGCUUCACUUAUAUCUUUUGAGCUAGAUAACUUUGCUCUAUGUGCUUCACUUAUAUCUUUUGAGCUAGAUAAUUUUGCUCUAUGUGCUUCACUUAUAUCUUUUGAGUUAGAUAAUUUUGCUCUAUGUGCUUCACUUAGAUCUUUUAGAGCAUGGUGGUGGAUUCGUUUUAAAGAAACUAUUGAUCUCUCAUGCUUCACUUAAAUUAAUUUGAGAGUCUCUUAAUAGCAUGGUAAUUUGCCUAAUGAUGAUCUGCUUGGUAUUCAAGAUUUGCGAAACUUUCUUUUGAGUGUGUUGAAUACUAAGAAAAGAUUGAAGCAUGAUAAUUGUUUUGAGAUAUGGAGGUUAUAAUAUUAAAGCCAUGCUAGUUGACUAGUUGUGAAUUUAAAGAAUACUUGUGUUGAAGUUUGUGAUUCCCGUAGCAUACACCUACCAUAUACCUUCCUCAAAACAGCAACCAUACCUACCUAUUAUGGCAUUUCCAUAGCCAUUCCGAGAUAUAUUGCCAUGCAACUUUCCACCAUCUAGUUCAUCAUGACACAUUCAUCAUUGUCAUAUUGCAUAUCCCGGUACACCGCCGGAUGCAUUCACAUAGAUUCAUAUUUUGUUCUAAGUAUCGAGUUGUAAUUGUUGAGUUGUAAGAAAAAUAAAAGUGUGAUGAUCAUCAUUAUUAGAGCAUUGUCCCAAUGAGGAAAGAAUGAUGGAGACUAUGAUUCCCCCACAAGUCGGGAUGAGACUCCGGACGAAAAAAAAAAGAGAGGCCAAAGAAGCCCAAAUAAAAAAAAGGAGAAAGGCCAUAUAAAAAUAUAAAAAAAUGAGAGAAAAAGAGAGAAGGGACAAUGUUACUAUCCUUUUACCACACUUGUGCUUCAAAGUAGCACCAUGAUCUUCAUAGUAGAGAGUCUCUCAUGUUAUCACUUUCAUAUACUAGUGGGAAUCUUUCAUUUUAGAACUUGGCUUGUAUAUUCCAAUGAUGGGCUUCCUCAAAUUGCCCUAGGUCUUCGUGAGCAAGCAAGUUGGAUGCACACCCACUAGUUUCUUUUGUUGAGCUUUCAUAUAUUUAUAGCUCUAGUGCAUCCGUUGCAUGGCAAUCCCUACUCACUCACAUUGAUAUCUAUUAAUGGGCAUCUCCAUAGCCCGUUGAUACGCCUAGUUGAUGUGAGACUAUCUUCUCCCUUUUUGUCUUCUCCACAACCACUAUUCUAUUCCACCUAUAGUGCUAUAUCCAUGGCUCAUGCUCAUGUAUUGCAUGAAGAUUGAAAAAGUUUUGAAAAAGUUAAGAGUAUGAAACAAUUGCUUGGCUUGUCAUCGGGGUUGUGCAUGAUUUAAAUACUUUGUGUGGGGAAGAUGGAGCAUAGCCAGACUAUAUGAUUUUGUAGGGAUAACUUUCUUUAGCCAUGUUAUUUUGAGAAGACAUAAUUGCUUUGUUAGUAUGCUUGAAGUAUUAUUAUUUUCUAUGUCAAUAUAAACCUUUGUCUUGAAUCUUUCUAAUCUGAAUAUUCAUACCACAAUUAAGAAGAUUUGCAUUGAAAUUAUGCCAAGUAGCACUCCGCAUCAAAAAUUCUCUUUUUAUCAUUUACCUACUCGAGGACGAGCAGGAAUUAAGCUUGGGGAUGUCUGAUACGUCUCCAACGUAUCUAUAAUUUUUUAUUGCUCCAUGCUAUAUUAUCUACUGUUUUGGACUAUAUUGGGCUUUAUUUUUCACUUUUAUAUUAUUUUUGGGACUAACCUAUUAACCGGAGGCCCAGCCCAGAAUUGCUAUUUUUUACCUAUUUCAGUGUUUCAAAGAAACGGAAUAUCAAACGGAGUCCAAAAGGAAUAAAAUCUUCGGGAACGUGAUUUUCUCACCGAACGUGAUCCAGGAGACUUGGACCCUGCUCCAAGGAACAAAAGAGGCGGUCACGAGGGUGGGGGCGCCCCUCCCCCCUAGGGCGCGCCCCCUGCCUCGUGGGCCCCUCGUUGCUCCUCCGGCGUGCUUCUUCCUCCUAUAUAUACACACGUACCCCCAAACGAUCAAAACAGGAGCCAAAAACAUAAUUCCACCGCCACAACUUUCUGUAUCCAUGAGAUCCCAUCUUGGGGCCUGUUCCGGAGCUCCGCUGGAAGAGGGCCGUCAUCACGGAGGGCUUCUACAUCAUCAUAGCCUCUCCGAUGAAGUGUGAGUAGUUUACUUCAGACCUUCAGGUCCAUAGUUAGUAGCUAGAUGGCUUCUUCUCUCUCUUUGAAUCUCAAUACAAAGUUCUCCCCCUCUCUCGUGGAGAUCUAUUCGAUGUAAUCUUCUUUUUGCGGUGUGUUUGUUGAGACCAAUGAAUUGUGGAUUUAUGAUCAAGUCUAUCUAUGAAUAAUAUUUGAAUCUUCUCAGAAUUCUUUUAUGCAUGAUUGGUUAUCUUUGCAAGUCUCUUCGAAUUAUCCGUUUGGUUUGGCCAACUAGAUUGGUAGUUCUUGCCAUGGGAGAAGUGCUUAGCUUUGGGUUCGAUCUUGCGGUGUCCUUACCCAGUGACAGAAUGGGCAGCAAGGCACGUAUUGUAUCGUUGCCAUCGAGGAUAACAAGAUGGGAUUUAUUUCAUAUUGCAUGAAUUUAUCUCUCUACAUCAUGUCAUCUUGCUUAAGGCGUUACUCUGUUUUUAACUUAAUACUCUAGAUGCAUGCUGGAUAGCGGUCGAUGAGUGGAGUAAUAGUAGUAGAUGCAGAAUCGUUUCGAUCUACUUGUCACGGACGUGAUGCCUAUAUACAUGAUCAUGCUUAGAUAUUCUCAUAUUUAUGCACAAUUCUAUAAAUUGCUCAAUAGUAAUUUGUUCAUCCACCGUAGAAUACUUAUGCUCUUGAGAGAAGCCACUAGUGAAACCUAUGGCCCCCGGGUCUAUUCUCAUCAUAUCAAUCUCCAUCACUUUUAUAUUGUUUUGCUAUUUACUUUGCCUUUACUUUUUACUUUGCAUCUUUAUAUCAAAAAUACCAAAAAUAUUCUAUCUAUCAGAUAUCACUUUCGUAAGUGACCGUGAAGGGCUUGACAACCCCUAAUCGCGUUGGUUGCGAGUAGCUAUCGCUUUGUGCAGGUACGAGGGACUUGAGCGUGGGCUCCUACUAGAUUGAUACCUUGGUUCUCAAAAACUGAGGGAAAUACUUACGCUACUCUGCUGCAUCAUCCCUUCCUCUUCGCAGAAAACCUACGCAAGCUCAAGACGCAGCACGACUCGACAAGGACAAGGGAGCAGCCCGCCAACAGAGGAAGACCGUGCUCCAUCACCUCCAUUAGGCGAACCAAAACUGGACCCCCAUCCGUCUCUACCCCCGAAGAAGGCACCCCUGCCUUCCGUCCUGGAUCGGAGGACACCACGCUGUCGACAAGCAGACCCACUCACCCCGAGUGGAAGGAACAAUAGGUUGUCAAGGAAAGACUGAGAGCACAGCUACCUCACCGAGCAAGCGACACCCCAUACUUCGACACGGCCGUCGGCAACUUCGUCGAGGUACCAACAUAACCGGCUCAUCUUUUUCGUAGGCGAUAUUAAAUGCGUAGACCUCUUUUUAUUCGCAUCAUGAAGCUUGCAAGCAAAAUUGUAGUUUUUUCACUCGCCGGAGGAAUGCCGCCGGUUUGCUUGGGUUUAGUGCAUAUGAAAAAAUCAGCGGCGAUGAGAGUGAUUGCAUAUGGCAUUCCCGCUGACUAUACCUUUGAGUAUUUUUCGCAUUGGAGAAGAUACCGCCAUCAAAUGCGUGCGGGUGUUUGCGAAAACAAUGAUCCGGGUUUUUGGCCCGGAGUAUCUUUGAGCUCCAAACGAGGAGGACACAAAGAAGUUGAUGGCGAUGAAUGAAGGGGUGGCCAUGUAUGCUUGGGAGUAUUGAUUGCAUGCAUUAGAGGUGGAAGAACUGCCCAGUGAUUUGGGCAGGGUAGUACAUGUUGGGUUUCGUAGUAAUUUCAAAAAAAUUCCUACGCACACGCAAGAUCAUGUGAUGCAUAGCAACGAGAGGGGAGAGUGUCGUCUACGUACCCACGCAGACCGACUGCGGAAGCGUUGACACAACGUAGAGGAAGUAGUCGCACGUCUUCACGAUCCAACCGAUCAAGCACCGAAACUACGGCACCUCCGAGUUCGAGCACACGUUCAGCUCGAUGACGAUCCCCGGACUCCGAUCCAGCAAAGUGUCGGGGAAGAGUUCCGUCAGCACAAUGGCGUGGUGACGAUCUUGAUGUACUACAGCAGCAGGGCUUCGCCUAAACUCCGCUACAGUAUUAUCGAGGACUAUGGUGGCUGGGGGCACCGCACACGGCUAAGGAAUAGAUCACCUGGAUCAACUUGUGUGUUUCUGGGGUACCCCUGCCUCCGUAUAUAAAGGACUAGAAGGGGGGAGGCUGGCCGGCCAAGUGUGGCGCGCCAGGAGAGUCCUACUCCCUCUGGGAGUAGGAUUCCCCCCCCCCCCAAUCCUAGUUGGAAUAGGACUCCUUGAGGGUGGGAAAGAGAGAGGGGGAGCCGGCCACCUCUCCUAGUCCUAAUAGGACUAGGGGAAGGGGGGAGGCGCACAGCCACCUUGGGCUGCCCCUUUCUCCUUUCCACUAAAGCCCACUAAGGCCCAUAUAGCUCCCGGGGGGUUCCGGUAACCUCCCAGUACUCCGGUAAAAUCCCGAUUUCACCCGGAACACUUCCGAUGUCCAAAUAUAGGCUUCCAAUAUAUCAAUCUUUAUUUCUCAACCAUUUCGAGACUCCUCGUCAUGUCCGUGAUCACAUCCGGGACUCCGAACAACCUUCGGUACAUCAAAAUGCAUAAACUCAUAAUAUAACUGUCAUCGUAACCUUAAGCGUGCGGACCCUACGUGUUCGAGAACAAUGUAGACAUGACCGAGACACGUCUCCGGUCAAUAACCAAUAGCGGGACCUGGAUGCCCAUAUUGGCUCCUACAUAUUCUACAAAGAUCUUUAUCGGUCAGACCGCAUAACAACAUACGUUGUUCCCUUUGUCAUCGGUAUGUUACUUGCCCGAGAUUCGAUCGUCAGUAUCCAAUACCUAGUUCAAUCUCGUUACCGGUAAGUCUCUUUACUCGUUCUGUAAUACAUCAUCCCGCAACUUAACUCAUUAGUUGCAAUGCUUGCAAGGCUUAUGUGAUGUGCAUUACCGAGAGGGCCCAGAGAUACCUCUCCGACAAUCGGAGUGACAAAACCUAAUCUUGAAAUACGCCAACCCAACAUGAACCUUUGGAGACACCUGUAGUACUCCUUUAUAAUCACCCAGUUACGUUGUGACGUUUGGUAGUACCCAAAGUGUUCCUACGGUAAACGGGAGUUGCAUAAUCUCAUAGUUAUAGGAACAUGUAUAAGUCAUGAAGAAAGCAAUAGCAACAUACUAAACGAUCGGAUGCUAAGCUAAUGGAAUGGGUCAUGUCAAUCAGAUCAUUCUCUUAAUGAUGUGAUCCUGUUAAUCAAAUAACAACUCAUUGUUCAUGGUUAGGAAACAUAACCAUCUUUGAUUAACAAGCUAGUCAAGUAGAGGCAUACUAGUGACACUUUGUUUGUCUAUGUAUUCACACAUGUAUUAUGUUUCUGGUUAAUACAAUUCUAGCAUGAAUAAUAAACCUUUAUCAUGAUUAUAAGGAAAUAAAUAAUAACUUUAUUAUUGCCUCUAGGGCAUAUUUCCUUCAGUCUCCCACUUGCACUAGAGUCAAUAAUCUAGAUUACACCGUAAUGAUUCUAACACCCAUGGAGCCUUGGUGCUGAUCAUGUUUUGCUCGUCGUAGAGGCUUAGUCAACGGGUCUGCAAUAUUCAGAUCCGUAUGUAUCUUGCAAAUCUCUAUGUCUCCCACUUGGACUAGAUCCCGGAUGGAAUUGAAGCGUCUCUUGAUGUGCUUGGUUCUCUUGUGAAAUCUGGAUUCCUUUGCCAAAGCAAUUGCAUCAGUAUUGUCACAAAAGAUUUUCAUUGGACCCGAUGCACUAGGUAUGACACCUAGAUCGGAUAUGAACUCCUUCAUCCAGACUCCUUCGUUCGCUGCUUCCGAAGCAGCUAUGUACUCCGCUUCACAUGUAGAUCCCUCUACGACGCUUUGUUUAGAACUGAACCAACUAACAGCUCCACCGUUUAAUGUAAACACGUAUCCGGUUUGCGAUUUAGAAUCGUCCGGAUCAGUGUCAAAGCUUGCAUCAACGUAACCAUUUAUGACGAGCUCUUUGUCACCUCCAUAUAUGAGAAACAUAUCCUUAGUCCUUUUCAGGUAUUUCAGGAUGUUCUUGGCCGCUGUCCAGUGAUCCACUCCUGGAUUACUUUGGUACCUCCCUGCUAGACUUAUAGCAAGGCACACAUCGGGUCUGGUACACAGCAUUGCAUACAUGAUAGAUCCUACGGCUGAUGCAUAAGGAACAUCUUUCAUAUUCUCUCUAUCUUCUGCAGUGGUCGGGCAUUGAGUCUUACUCAACUUCACACCUUGUAACACAGGCAAGAAUCCUUUCUUUGCUUGAUCCAUUUUGAACUUCUUCAAAAUCUUGUCAAGGUAUGUGCUUUGUGAAAGUCCAAUUAAGCGUCUUGAUCUAUCUCUAUAGAUCUUGAUGCCUAAUAUGUAAGCAGCUUCACCGAGGUCCUUCAUUGAAAAACUCUUAUUCAAGUAUCCCUUUAUGCUAUCCAGAAAUUCUAUAUCAUUUCCAAUUAGUAAUAUGUCAUCCACAUAUAAUAUCAGAAAUGCUACAGAGCUCCCACUCACUUUCUUGUAAAUACAGGCUUCUCCGAAAGUCUGUAUAAAACCAAAUGCUUUGAUCACACUAUCAAAGCGUUUAUUCCAACUCCGAGAGGCUUGCACCAGUCCAUAAAUGGAUCGCUGGAGCUUGCACAGUUUGUUAGCUCCCUUUGGAUCGACAAAACCUUCUGGUUGCAUCAUAUACAACUCUUCUUCCAGAAAUCCAUUCAGGAAUGCAGUUUUGACAUCCAUCUGCCAAAUUUCAUAAUCAUAAAAUGCGGCAAUUGCUAACAUGAUUCGGACAGACUUAAGCAUUGCUACGGGUGAGAAGGUCUCAUCGUAGUCAACCCCUGGAACUUGUCGAAAACCUUUUGCGACAAGUCGAGCUUUGUAGACAGUAAUAUUACCGUCAGCGUCAGUCUUUUUCUUGAAGAUCCAUUUAUUCUCAAUUGCUUGCCGAUCAUCGGGCAAGUCAACCAAAGUCCAUACUUUGUUCUCAUACAUGGAUCCCAUCUCAGAUUUCAUGGCUUCAAGCCAUUUUGCGGAAUCUGGGCUCACCAUCGCUUCUUCAUAGUUCGUAGGUUCAUCAUGAUCUAGUAGCAUGACUUCCAGAACAGGAUUACCGUACCACUCUAGCGCGGAUCUCACUCUGGUUGAUCUACGAGGUUCAGUAGUAUCUUGAUCUGAAGUUUCAUGAUCAUUAUCAUUAGCUUCCUCACUAACUGCUGUAGGUGUCACUGGAACAGUUUUCUGUGAUGUACUACUUUCCAGUAAGGGAGCAGGUACAGUUACCUCGUCAAGUUCUACUUUCCUCCCACUCACUUCUUUCGAGAGAAACUCCUUCUCCAGAAAGUUUCCGAAUUUAGCAACAAAAGUCGUGCCUUCGGAUCUGUGAUAGAAGGUGUAUCCAAUAGUUUCCUUUGGAUAUCCUAUGAAGACACAUUUCUCCGAUUUGGGUUCGAGCUUAUCAGGUUGAAGCUUUUUCACAUAAGCAUCGCAGCCCCAAACUUUCAGAAAUGACAACUUUGGUUUCUUGCCAAACCACAGUUCAUAAGGCGUCGUCUCAACGGAUUUUGAUGGUGCCCUAUUUAACGUGAAUGCGGCCGUCUCUAGAGCGUAUCCCCAAAACGAUAGCGGUAAAUCAGUAAGAGACAUCAUAGAUCGUACCAUAUCUAGUAAAGUACGAUUACGACGUUCGGACACACCAUUACGCUGUGGUGUUCCGGGUGGCGUGAGUUGCGAAACUAUUCCACAAUUUUUCAAAUGUACACCAAACUCGUAACUCAAAUAUUCUCCUCCACGAUCAGAUCGUAGAAACUUUAUUUUCUUGUUACGAUGAUUUUCAACUUCACUCUGAAAUUCCUUGAAAUUUUCAAAUGUUUCAGACUUAUGUUUCAUUAAGUAGAUAUACCCAUAUCUACUUAAAUCAUCUGUGAAGGUGAGAAAAUAACGAUAUCCGCCACGAGCCUCAAUAUUCAUCGGACCACAUACAUCUGUAUGUAUGAUUUCCAACAAAUCUGUUGCUCUCUCCAUAGUACCGGAGAACGGUGUUUUGGUCAUCUUGCCCAUGAGGCACGGUUCGCAAGUACCAAGUGAUUCAUAAUCAAGUGGUUCCAAAAGUCCAUCAGAAUGGAGUUUCUUCAUGCGCUUUACACCGAUAUGACCUAAACGGCAGUGCCACAAAUAAGUUGCACUCUCAUUAUCAACUCUACAUCUUUUGGCUUCAACAUUAUGAAUAUGUGUGUUACUACUAUCGAGAUUCAACAAGAAUAGACCACUCUUCAAGGGUGCAUGACCAUAAAAGAUAUUACUCAUAUAAAUAGAACAACCAUUAUUCUCUGAUUUAAAUGAAUAACCGUCUCGCAUCAAACAAGAUCCAAAUAUAAUGUUCAUGCUCAACGCUGGCACCAAAUAACAAUUAUUUAGGUCUAAUACUAAUCCCGAAGGUAGAUGUAGAGGUAGCGUGCUGACUGCGAUCACAUCGACUUUGGAACCGUUUCCCACGCGCAUCGUUACCUCGUCCUUAACCAAUCUUCGCUUGAUCCAUAGUCCCUGUUUCGAGUUGCAAAUAUUAGCAACAGAACCAGUAUCAAAUACCAGGUGCUACUGCGAGCAUUAGUAAGGUACACAUCAAUAACAUGUAUAUCACAUAUACCUUUGUUCACCUUGCCAUCCUUCUUAUCCGCCAAAUACUUGGGGCAGUUCCGCUUCCAGUGACCAGUCUGCUUGCAAUAGAAGCACUUAGUUUCAGGCUUAGGUCCAGGUUUGGGUUUCUUCUCUUGAGUAGCAACUUGCUUGCCGUUCUUUUUGAAGUUCCCCUUCUUCUUCCCUUUGCCCUUUUUCUUGAAACUAGUGGUCUUGUUGACCAUCAACACUUGAUGCUUCUUCUUGAUUUCUACCUCCGCAGCUUUCAGCAUCGCGAAGAGCUCGGGAAUAGUCUUGUUCAUCCCUUGCAUAUUAUAGUUCAUCACGAAGCUCUUGUAGCUUGGUGGCAGUGAUUGAAGAAUUCUGUCAAUGACGCAAUCAUCUGGGAGAUUAAGUCCCAAUUGAAUCAAGUGAUUAUUAUACCCAGACAUUUUGAGUAUAUGCUCACUGACAGAACUGUUCUCCUCCAUCUUGCAGCUAUAGAACUUAUUGGAGACUUCAUAUCUCUCAAUCCGGGCAUUUGCUGAAAAUAUUAACUUCAACUCCUGAAACAUCUCAUAUGCUCCAUGACGUUCAAAACGUCGUUGAAGUCCCGAUUCUAAGCCGUAAAGCAUGGCACACUGAACUAUCGAGUAGUCAUCAGCUUUGCUCUGCCAGACGUUCAUAACAUCCAGCGUUGCUCCUGCAGCAGGCCUGGCACCCAGCGGUGCUUCCAGGAUGUAAUUCUUCUGUGCAGCAAUGAGGAUAAUCCUCAAGUUACGGACCCAGUCCGUGUAAUUGCUACCAUCAUCUUUCAACUUUGCUUUCUCAAGGAACGCAUUAAAAUUCAACGGAACAACAGCACGAGCCAUCUAUCUACAAUCAAACAUAAACAAGCAAGAUACUAAUCAGGUACUAAGUUUCAUGAUAAAUUUAAGUGCAGUUAAUCAAAUUUAAUUAAAGAACUCCCACUUAGAUAGACAUCCCUCUAAUCCUCUAAGUGAUUACGUGAUCCAAAUCAACUAAACCAUAACCGAUCAUCACGUGAGAUGGAGUAGUUUUCAAUGGUGAACAUUGUUAUGUUGAUCAUAUCUACUAUAUGAUUCAUGCUCGACCUUUCGGUCUCCGUGUUCCGAGGCCAUAUCUGUAUAUGCUUGGCUCGUCAAGUAUAACCUGAGUAUUCCACGUGUGCAACUGUUUUGCACCCGUUGUAUUUGAACGUAGAACCUAUCACACCCGAUCAUCACGUGGUGUCUCAGCACGAAGAACUUUCGCAACGGUGCAUACUCAGGGAGAACACUUCUUGAUAAUUUAGUGAGAGAUCAUCUUAUAAUGCUACCAUCAAUCAAAGCAAGAUAAGAUGCAUAAAAGGAUAAACAUCACAUGCAAUCAAUAUAAGUGAUAUGAUAUGGCCAUCAUCAUCUUGUGCUUGUGAUCUCCAUCUUCGAAGCACCUUCGUGAUCACCAUCGUCACCCGCGUGACACCUUGAUCUCCAUCGUAGCAUCGUUGUCGUCUCGCCAAGCUUGUGCUUCUACGACUAUCGCUACCGCUUAGUGAUAAAAGUAAAGAAUUACAUCGCGAUUGCAUUGCAUACAAUAAAACGAGAACCAUAAGGCUCCUGCCAGUUGCCGAUAACUCGGUUACAAAACAUGAUCAUCUCAUACAAUAAAAUUCAGCAUCAUGUCUUGACCAUAUCACAUCACAACAUGCCCUGCAAAAACAAGUUAGACGUCCUCUACUUUGUUGUUGCAAGUUUUACGUGGCUGCUACGGGCUUAAGCAAGAACCAAUCUCACCUACGCAUCAAAACCACAACGAUAGUUUGUCAAAUAGACUCCAUUUUAACCUUCGCAAGGACCGGGCGUAGCCAUACUUGGUUCAACUAAAGUUGGAGAGACAGUCGCCCGCAAGCCACCUAUGUGCAAAGCACAUCGGGGGAACCGGUCUCGCAUAAGCGUACGCGUAAUGUUGGUCCGGGUCGUCUCGUCCAACAAUGCCGCCGAACCAAAGUAUGACAUGCUGGUAGGCAGUAUGACUUAUAUCGCCCACAACUCACUUGUGUUCUACUCGUGCAUAUAACAUCAACAUAAAUAACCUAGGCUCGGAUGCCACUGUUGGGUUUCGUAGUAAUUUCAAAAAAAAUCCUACGCACACGCAAGAUCAUGUGAUGCAUAGCAACGAGAGGGGAGAGUGUCAUCUACGUACCCACGCAGACCGACUGCGGAAGCGUUGACACAACGUAGAGGAAGUAGUCGUAUGUCUUCACGAUCCAACUGAUCAAGCACCGAAACUACGGCACCUCCGAGUUCGAGCACACGUUCAGCUCGAUGACGAUCCCCGGACUCCGAUCCAGCAAAGUGUCGGGGAAGAGUCAGCACGAUGGCGUGGUGACGAUCUUGAUGUACUACAGCAGCAGGGCUUCGCCUAAACUCCGCUACAGUAUUAUCGAGGACUAUGGUGGCUGGGGGCACCGCACACGGCUAAGGAAUAGAUCACCUGGAUCAACUUGUGUGUUUCUGGGGUGCCCCUGCCUUCGUAUAUAAAGGACUAGAAGGGGGGAGGCUGGCCGGCAAAGUGUGGCGCGCCAGGGGAGUCCUACUCCCUCUGGGAGUAGGAUUCCCCGCCCCCCCAAUCCUAGUUGGAAUAGGACUCCUUGAGGGUGGGAAAGAGAGAGAGGGGGCCGACCACCUCUCCAAGUCCUAAUAGGACUAGGGGAAGGGGGGAGGCGCACAGCCACCUUGGGCUGCCCCUUUCUCCUUUCCACUAAAGCCCACUAAGGCCCAUAUAGCUCCCGGGGGGUUCCGGUAACCUCCCGGUACUCCGGUAAAAUCCCGAUUUCACCCGGAACACUUCCGAUGUCCAAAUAUAGGCUUCCAAUAUAUCAAUCUUUAUGUCUCGACCAUUUCGAGACUCCUCGUCAUGUUCGUGAUCAAAUCCGGGACUCCGAACAACCUUCGGUACAUCAAAAUGCAUAAACUCAUAAUAUAACUGUCAUCGUAACCUUAAGCGUGCGGACCCUACGGGUUCGAGAACAAUGUAGACAUGACCGAGACACGUCUCCGGUCAAUAACCAAUAGCGGGACCUGGAUGCCCAUAUUGGCUCCUACAUAUUCUACGAAGAUCUUUACCGGUCAGAUCGCAUAACAACAUACGUUGUUCCCUUUGUCAUCAGUAUGUUACUUGCCCGAGAUUCGAUCGUCGGUAUCCAAUACCUAGUUCAAUCUCGUUACCGGCAAGUCCCUUUACUCGUUCUGUAAUACAUCAUCCCGCAACUUAACUCAUUAGUUGCAAUGCUUGCAAGGCUUAUGUGAUGUGCAUUACCGAGUGGGCCCAGAGAUACCUCUCCGACAAUCAGAGUGACAAAACCUAAUCUCGAAAUAUGCCAACCCAACAUGUACCUUUGGAGACACCUGUAGUACUCCUUUAUAAUCACCCAGUUACGUUGUGACGUUUGGUAGUACCCAAAGUGUUCCUCCGGUAAACGGGAGUUGCAUAAUCUCAUAGUUAUAGGAACAUGUAUAAGUCAUGAAGAAAGCAAUAGCAACAUACUAAACGAUCGGGUGCUAAGCUAAUGGAAUGGGUCAUGUCAAUCAGAUCAUUCUCUUAAUGAUGUGAUCCCGUUAAUCAAAUAACAACUCAUUGUUCAUGGUUAGGAAACAUAACCAUCUUUGAUUAACAAGCUAGUCAAGUAGAGGCAUACUAGUGACACUUUGUUUGUCUAUGUAUUCACACAUGUAUUAUGUUUCCGGUUAAUAUAAUUCUAGCAUGAAUAAUAAACCUUUAUCAUGAUUAUAAGGAAAUAAAUAAUAAUUUUAUUAUUGCCUCUAGGGCAUAUUUCCUUCAGUACACUGGCCACAAACAUAAACCUACCAUUGUGCUUGAAGCUAUGGCUUCAAGCAAUUUAUAGAUUUGGCAUUACUUCUUUGGUUUGCCGGGGUGUCUCAAUGAUAUCAAUGUCUUACAUCGAUCUCAUCUUUUUGCUCGACUAGCUAGUGGAAAAUCUCCAACUUGCAACUAUCCCGUCAAUGGCCAUGACUAUAUCAUGGGGUACUAUCUCGUCGACGGUAUUUAGCCUACAUGGUCAAUAUUCGUGAAGACCAUUAGUAACUCUAAAACCAAGAAGCACAUUUUUCGCCAAAGCACAAGAAGCAUGCUCAAAAGAUAUUGAGAGGGAAUUUGGUGUGUUGCAAGCUUGGUUUGCAAUUGUCUGAAGUUCCGCUCACUUCUGGGAUAAGAAAUCUCCCCGAAACAUCAGGACUGCAUGUGUAAGUUUACGCAACAUGCUCAUCGAGGAUGAGAGGAAUUUGAAAUUAGAAUUUUAUUAUGAUAAUGUUGGUAGCCGUGUGAAGCCUGCCAGGGAUGCAUAUGAGAUCGAUGCAUUUUUUGGCACCUAUCAAAAGAUUGGGAACAAUGCUUCACACUACUAGCUCCGUGAUGAUCGUGUUGACUAUUAGUGGCAACUCUAUGAGAGAUGGACUCCCAUUUUAAUUUAAUUAAUUUCAUAUGUCUUUGUGUGUGAUUGGAAUAAAUUUUGUUCUUGUAUUAAUUAUUCAAAUUUGAACAUUCAUGUUUAUAUGUUUAGUUUGUAUUAUGAUUCUAUUAGGUUUAUAUUGUUGAAAAUCAAGAAUUUGCAAAGCUCCCAAAAAUUUGCGGUACCGCGAGGCCUCCGGCGCGGAACAGAUCCUGUAAACUCGUCCCGCAAAUGUUUUGUGGGACGGAUUUACCGGAUCUGCUCCACCCUAGGCCUCGCGGAACCGCAACUUUUUUUUACAGUCGGCCCUUAAACGAUAUUUGUGGGACGAGGUUUUACCGGAUCUGUUCCACCGUAGGCCUCGUGGUACCGUAAUAUUUUUCACAGUCGGCCCUUAAACUAUAUUUGUAGGAAGAGGUUUUAUCGGAUCUGUUCCACUGUAGGCCUUGCGGUACCGCAAUAUUUUUUACAGUCGGCCCUUAAAUGAUAUUUGCCGAACACGGUUUUGCCCGGAUCUGCUAGAGAUGCUCUUAAACUAUUACCAAUUGGAUCCCGCAAAAAAAAACCAUUCCCAAUUGUGUGAUGUCCCUUUUGUAGAAAAAGAAGCACUAAUUUAUCUCCUGACAAGAAAAAUUAAUUGUUCGGUUGGUUGUGAAGAUACUUGUUAAAGAACUUUAGAAGAAAAUACACGGUAGCAAAAUGUUUCAAAGAAUAUUGUGCUUUAGAGUAGUCAUACACCAGCCUCAACCCCAUGUUGAGAAUGAUGUAAACAUUAUAAAGAUAAUUAAUAUUGGGUUUGUUCUUUCAUGCUAUUUCAAAAACUGACGUGGGUGUGACUCUCAAUGACUCAUAAUUGUUUCACAAUGGCUCGAUGUUUGUAAACCCGUCCUGGAUUUGAACUCUAAAGACUUAUAAAUUGAGUUGUUUUUCAUGCACUGAGUUCAGAUGUCAUUCCAACUUGAAGAUUGUUACUCCCUCCGUCCCAUAAUAUAAGAUCAUUUUUGACACUAUCAUAAUGUCAAACAUGAUGUUAUAUUAUAGGACAUAGGGAGUACUUCGUUAGAUCGGCUUUCAAGGAACAGUCGAUGUCGUGUACUCCAUCUUACCACGACAAGUAUUUUGGAACAGAGGGAGAGUAUUUAUUUCUUGCCGGAAGAAUCUAAAUGAUUUUAGACAACAAUGCGGGAUACGACUCUUUGUACGCUAGCAGCAUGCAAGUCGCUCAAAUUAUAGAUCAGGAAGAGGGGCAUCAAGGGGGUCCAGUUAGACACUCUCUGAGAUCCAAAUCUGAAUCCAUAAUGUCCUUUUUAUCAGAUAUGCUUGCCCAUACGCACCCAUCACAGAUGGAGAAGCAUAUCUGCAUAUGGACAUUGUUUAGCCACAAGUCUGUCUGCGGUAAAUUCAGGUUUCAUUCUUCACGUGUGUGUUAAUCAGAAAAUAUAGUUAGAACAUGAUGGGUUUAUCUGAGUCAAAUUGACUUGUUUUAUGGUUGUUUAACAUACACAUCAUUAUUAUCAGUAUUUGUUCCGUCUGAAGAAAACAAAUGAUUUGGUCAAACUGUCUGUUCAAGUGUCCAUGACUGAGUUUUUUUUUCUAAACCACCACAUAUAUUAAUUACGACGCCGCUAACUGCCACACGUGUGGCAUAUACGACAUGCGCCCACACACCAUGUGUGGUGUGAGUAGGAGGCAGCCCACACGGGCUGUGUGUGGGCGGAUAUUGGAAUUGCCCACACGUGUGGGCGCGGCUACUUCGUGCCACACACCCAACAAAUACUACUCAUCUUCACCUCGUGCGUGUGGCACGAAGCAAAAAUGCCCACACGUCCUGACGCAGCUACGUUAGAUACCCCGCGGAAUGACUAUUUAAUUGCCAUCCUGGUUGGCAGAUGUAGUUAUUCGGAAUGGCAAGUGUAGUUGUAAAAGCAUGACAACUCUAUCUGUUUUGGUUAAUUAUAGUUGCCAUGUCUAAUUUAUGGUAGUUGCCGCGUGUAAUCAAACCGUAGUUGCCGUGUGUGAUUAACUACUUGCCACAUAUGGUCAAAACAGUAGUUGCCAUGUGUGUUUACCUAGUUGUCACGUGUGGUCCAACCAUAGUUGACAUGUAUUGUUAAUCACAGUUGCCAUGUGUGUUUAUCUGGUUGCCACGUACGCGCAACUGCAGUUGCCGUGUAGCAAAGAAUCACAGUUGCCAUGUGUGUGUACCGAGUUGCCACGUUCGCGUAACUGCAGUUGCCGUGUAGCAGAGAAUCACAGUUGCCGUGUGUGUGUACCGAGUUGCCACGUUCGCGUAACUGCAGUUGCCGUCCACAACAUAGGAGUGUCGUGUGGGCGAAAAGCAGUUCGCCCACACGCGCAUGACCUAGGUGGUGGCUGUGUGGGCAGAAACUAGUUCGCCCACACAACGCAGCUGACAAACAGCGUGGUGCGGGCGUGUGGGCAAACUUUCCAACGCCCACACACCAGCCCCAUCCUACGUGGCAUAAAAAUCAACCUUUUCGUGCCAAGAUUCGUGCAAAAGGCACUGGACGACGAUCCAGGCGUGUGGGCGAGUUGGGGAACGCCCACACAUGUGGGCGUUAGACUUUUCGAUUAAUUAACCUGUCAAACAUGGUAUGCUGUCACGUAUAAUGUAUGGUGUACCUACACCUGAACCGGCGCACCUGGAUGUAGUUAGGAUAGAUAGAGAUAGGUUAUUUCUUUCUCUUCAAGUUUUAUCCUCUUCCUGAAUAUCUCCCUCUCAUGUGUAAUCCAAACUGCAUUGUAUGUAUUGUAUGGGAGGUGCGCCCCACUAUGUUAAUAUGAACCCAUCGGCCUCAACAGGCUAAGACGUUUCCAGCUAUCACACAUGGUAGUCAGAACUGCCCUUUUCCCAUCUAAGCUUCCUGCAAACUCCAUCUAGCCCUAGCCAUGUCUUCCUCCUCCGGCGCCUCCCAAACCAGCCUCAAUGGCCAGGUUACCGAGAAGCUGACACGCACAAACUAUGUGCUAUGGCGCACGUAGGUCAUCCCCCAGCUGUGUGGCACCGGUGUCUUCGGCUACAUCGACGGCACCCAGCCGGAGCCGGCGAAAGUCCUCGUCACCACCAAGGAUGGCAAGAAAACUUCAUCGCCCAACCCUCUCCACCCAAUCUGGGUCAGGGAGGAUCAGCAGGUCCGUGGGUAUCUGCUGAACAAUCUAACGCACGAGGUUCUGCUCACGGUGACCACGGUCACCACCUCGGGUGCGCUCUGGACGACACUCGCUGGUAUGUUCUCGCCCCAAUCUGCAAGCCGCAUCAACAACAUCAGAACAUCCCUCAUCAACACGCAGAAGGGGAACCUCUCCGUCGCCUCCUACUUCGCCGCCAUGCACAGCUACGCCGACGAGCUAGCCGCCGCGGGCAAGGCGAUCCCCGACGAUGAACUCGCCUCCUACAUCAUCCAUGGGCUCAACACCGACUAUCAGCCCCUGGUCUCUGCCCUCGACGCUCGCGUGACCGAGGUAACCCUUGAUGAGCUCUUUGCCAUGCUAUCCAACUUCGAUCAGCGCAUGGCUCAAUUGCACGAGUCCGGCGGCGGUGGCUUCAAAUCAUCCGCCAACGUGGCUACUCACGGGCAGGGGGGCUCCCGAUCGCGUGGCCCCUCUCGAAACAAGGGCAGGUCCGGCGGUGGCAACCAUGGUGUCACGCCACCCCUCUCUGGUGGUCGCGGUCGUCGUGGACGCGGCGCUGGUGGCGGCGGCAGAAACCGCUCGGACACCCCCCCCCCCGGUGCUAGAUCUGCGGCAAGCCCCGGCACACAGCAAAGGAUUGCUGGUACCGGUAUGAGGAGGGCGACUACAACUCUCAAGAUGACAAAAAAGUCGUUGCGGCUGCCGAUGGCUCCUAUGGUGUCGACACGAACUGGUACGUCGACAGCGGAGCCAACAACCACAUCACCAACGAGCUCGAGAAAGUAACCAUGAAGGAGAAGUACCGCGGCAAGGAUCAAAUUCACACGCCAACGGAGAAGGUAUGAGUAUACGUCACUUUGGUCACUCAAUAUUUCGUACCCCUCGUCGCAACAUUCAUCUUAGAAUUGUUUUUGCAUGUUCCUAGUGCCAACAAGAGUCUUCUUUCUGUCCAUAGAAUUGCCCUUGAUAAUCAUGUCUUUCUAGAAUUUCACCCUUACUUCUUUUUUAUUAAGGAUCAGGCAACGAGGACAACUCUCUAUCAAGGUAGAUGUGUCGGAGGCCUCUAUCCGUUGAUUCCGGAGUUUAGAAGACCAAAUAAACAAGCUUGUGGUGCUAUCAAGCUUUCGUCCACACGAUGGCAUGAUCAUUUAGGACAUGCUUCUUUUUCUUUAGUUGAAAGAUUGCUUAGGAAAAAUAAGCUCCCGUUUGUUGGUGAGCGUCAUAAUGAGACAAUUUGUGAUUCAUGUCAGAGAGCUAAAAGUCAUCAGUUACCUUACCCAGUUUCUACUAGUGUUUCUAUCAAACCAUUACAAUUGAUUUUCUCUGAUGUGUGGGGCCCUGCUCCUAGUUCUGUUGGUAGACACACCUAUUAUGUUAGUUUCAUUGAUGACUACAGUAAAUUUUCUUGGAUCUAUCUUUUAAAGAAAAUCUGAUGUGUUUCAAGUUUUUAAAAACUUUCAAGCUCUCAUUGAACAAAAAUUUGACAGUAAAAUCAUCGUUGUCCAAUCUGAUUGGGGUGGGGAGUACGAAAAAUUGAACUCCUUCUUCCAAACACUCGGUGUCUCACAUCACGUGUCGUGCCCUCAUGCUCACCAGCAAAAUGGGUCAGCCGAACGUAAGCAUCGGCACAUUGUUGAAGUUGGCCUUGCUCUUCUAGCAGGCACCUCAAUUACCCCUUAAAUUUUGGGAUGAAGUGUUUCUCACUGCCGUUCAUAUCAUCAACAUGCUACCUAGUCAUGUCAUCAACAAUGAAACUUCGGUAGAACGGCUUCUCCACACCAAACCAGACUAUAAGUUUCUUCGUGUUUUUGGGUGUGCAUGUUGGCCCAACCUUCGUCACUAAAAUAACCGCAAGCUCAUGUUUCGAUCAAAACCGUGCGUGUUCCUUGGCUACAGCGCUCAGCAUAAAUGGGUCAAGUGCCUAGAUGUCUCCACGGGCCGGGUGUACAUCUCCCGUGAUGUGGUUUUUGAUGAAACUAAAUUUUCAUUCGCUGAUCUCCACCCCAAUGUUGGUGCACUUGUUCGAGAAGAAAUUCUUCUCUUGCCUCCUCACCUCACUAGUUUUGAUCAAGGGCGACAAAAUAUUGAUGAUCAUUUGUUGACUAACUCAUCUAAUGGCAUGCAUGAGCUCUGUGUUGAUGAAACAGGAGAAAACUGCGAAGAAAAUAAUCAAAAUGGUGAAAAACUUGGGCUAUAUCCCAUGUGUCCCGUGGCAGGAGACAGCGUGGCAGGAGACAGAUCCUCCUCGGGAUCCGCAGCAUCGCAGGAGAUCGGAUCCUCCUCGGGAUCCGGUGGCGCAGAGGAGACAGGCGCGUGCGUGUGCGCUGCUGCGCUGGAUUUGCGCAUCUCCGCGCCCGACACGCGGGUCCCUCCAGGCGGCAUGCGGUACGGCGCCCGUCCCGUCACGUACACGCGGCGUGACCUCGCGCGGCCCAGUGCGAACGCGGACCCAGGAGCUGGCCCCACCAUUGUCGGCCGGCCGACUGGCGCGCGGACCCGAGCCACAGGGCCAUCAUUGCGCAAUGAUGAGCGAGCUCGCGGCUCGGGAUCUUCUGCACCAACCCUGGACGUGGUACUUCAGCCACCAGCCACAGAAGAUCCAGCCAACUCUGCGCCGACUGGAGCUGCUGCUGGGUCCGCAGCAAGAUCUCCCUCGGGAUCCGUUGCUGAUGCGCCUGUGCAGCCCACUGGAUCCUGUGUGGCUGCGGAUUCUGCUGCUCCACCAUCACGGCUACAACAAGGGGUAACUCAGCUUUUAAAUUACAAACAUGUAACCAAAUAUGGUUUGGUCUGUUCCACAGGAGAGCCAGAUGAGCCAAAGACCCUUGAUGCAGCACUUCGUGAUGAUAAGUGGAAGAAGGCAAUGAAUGAAGAAUACAUGGCACUGAAGAAAAAUAAAAUGUGGCACUUGGUUCCUCCACAGCAAGGUAAAAUUUUGAUUGAUUGCAAGUGGGUUUUCAUAAUUAAGAGGAGAUCUGAUGGAACCAUCGAUUGCUAUAAGUCUAGACUCGUUGCAAAAGGUUUCAAACAGCGAUAUGGCAUAGACUAUGAGGAUACGUUUAGUCCUGUGGUAAAAGCAGCUACUAUUCAUCUUGUUUUGUCCAUUGUUGUUUCCAGAGGAUGGAGUCUUAGGCAGCUUGAUGUACAUAACGCGUUUCUUCAUGGUGUUCUGGAAGAGGAAGUGUACAUGAAACAACCUUCUGGGUUUGAGAGUAAGAAAACUCCCUCCUAUGUGUGCAAACUUGAUAAAGCUAUAUAUGGAUUAAAACAAGCUCCAAGGGCGCGAUACUCUUGUCUCUGUCACAAGAUGUAAACACUUGGAUUUGUUCCUUCUAAGUCAGACACAUCAUUGUUCAUUUAUAACAGAUCCAAUACAUGCAUCUUUGUUCUCAUCUAUGUUGAUGAUAUAAUUGUGACCAGCUCAUCUGAUGAAGCAAUCAGAGGACACUUAAAAGACUUGAGUGUAGAUUUUGCAUUAAAGGAUCUUGGAGACUUACACUAUUUUCUUGGGAUUGAGGUAAAGAAGCAUCCGGAUGGACUUCAUCGCUCUCAGACUAGGUAUGCAACUGAUCUGGUUAAAAAGGCAGGACUACAAGGUUGUAAACCAUCUCUCAGUCCAUUAUCCAGCUCAGAAAAGUUGUCCCUUGCAGAAGCUAAACCCUUGAGUCGGGAAGAUAGCACAAAAUAUAGAAGCCUAGUAUGAGCUCUUCAGUAUCUAACUCUUACCAGGCCUGAUCUUUCAUUUGUUGUCAACAAAGUCUGUCAGUUUUUGCAUGCACCUACCACUGUUCACUUGACAGCUACCAAACACAUAGUCAGAUAUGUUAAACAUACUCUAGGUAUAUGUCUAAAUUUCAGCAAGUCAUCCUCUACUCUUGUCAGUGUUUUUUAUGACUCUGAUUGGGCAGGCUGCCUGGAUGACAGGCGCUCAACAGGUGGCUUUGCAGUAUUUUUUUGACCUAACUUGAUAUCAUGGUGUGCACGCAAACAGACUAAUGUAUCCAGGUCAAGCACUGAGGCAGAGUACAAAGCAUUAGCAAAUGCCACAACUGAAAUCAUAUGGUUCAGUCUAUGUUGAAAGAGCUUGGUGUGAAGAGCAAACAAGCUCCAUGCUUGUGGUGUGACAACCUUGGUGCUACUUAUCUUUCUGCUAAUCAUGUAUUCCAUGCUAGGACAAAGCAUAUAGAGAUAGACUUCCAUUUUGUCAGAGAGAGAGUUGCUCAAAAGCAACUUGACAUUCGGUUUGUGCAUUCAAAAGAUCAGAUUGCAGAUGGAUUCACAAAACCUUUGCCCACAAGGAGUUUUGAAGACUUCAAGCAUAAUCUCAACUUGAUGAAGUUGUGAUUAAGGGAGGGUGUCAAACAUGGUAUGCUGUCACGUAUAAUGUAUGGCGUACCUACACCUGAACCGGCGCACCUGGAGGUGGUUAGGAUAGAUAGAGACAGGUUAUUUCUUUCUCUUCAAGUUCUAUCUUCUCCCUGAAUAUCUCCCUCUCUCAUGUGUAAUCCAAACUGCAUUGUAUGCGCUGUAUGGGAGGUGCGCCCCACUAUAUUAACAUGAACCCGUCGGCCUCAACAGGCUAAGACGUUUUCAGCUAUCGCACAUAACCAACAUAGUUAUUACAAUCACUCGUUACAAAAUUCACCACACAGGGUGGAACAUCAUUAACAAUAAUACCAUCUGAUCUAUUGUCAAGACUAUACUUAGCAAUGAGAUGAGCCACCCUGUGUAUAGGCUGAACGAUUAAUCUUUGAAAUUUUGAACCCUGUAAUAAAUUUAACAAGAAACCUUAAUGGCAGGUUUACCUUUUGGGAACUUUAUUACUAAUAGUGUUGACGAUUAUUGUAUGUUGAAACAGGUUCUUGUAUGGUGCACUGAACCUAUAGACUGUAGAAAGUUUCAAUACAUUUGCUUGUAAUUGUACUUGCAGCUUCUAUGGAAAACAAAACAGUGCUACAAUCUGACAAGAACCCAUUGCAAAAAAGAAAAAAUCUUACAAUUAGAACAAGAACUACAAGUUUGCCGGGAAUGGAAAGGGAAAGCAAAACAGAGGCAGAUGUUGUAGGUUGCCAAUAAAAGGAUUAAGAAGAUCCAUGGCAAGACUGCCCAAACUGAAAUUAUGCACAAAGGACUAGAGUAACAGAGGUCGUGCUGUAUUAUUUAUCACACGAUUUUUUUAUGUUAAUAAAAAGUCGUUCAGGUUUAUAAGGAGACUAAGCAAGUAAGCAUGACAUGAGUUGCAUGGCUGGGCCAGCAUACCAUCAGUCCAUCACAGUUGAGCAAUCUGAGAUCAGAGCCGUGCAGCUGCUAGCUCAUUCACCGCACGGUCGUUCGCGAUGAAUUCCCCGCCACACAGGAUUUUGCCCGGCGAGCUACUCUUGAGACUCAGUUCUUGGUCUUGUUGUGUUUGUGUCGAAUAUUGUGUAUGAGUUGGGUUACAUUUAGACUUGGUGUUGUAGUGUGGGUAGGAUACAUAUAGUGUUGGAGGCGGACAUUGUCAGGACCCCGACUCAAUGCCACAUCGAUCUAGCAUAUAACACCUCAUAUCACUUUGCGGCCUCACGCACGGUAUUCCCACGGGUGUUGUCUUACCUUUGCCCGGGACCGUUUGCGCCUUUUGGCACACGUAUAUGACAGUGUCGCUAGCAUCCAUAUGAUAAGGAGCCCGGGCUGACAUGGCUAGUCGUAAACCCAAAGUGGCACAGACUUACAGGGACAGGCAUCCAUGACCCAGCAUCGAACGUGUCGGUCAUCAGCGAGUGAAUCCAGGCUGUAGCACUGGGCUAGCAGGACUCCGGUGAACCGGGCUGUAGCGGGCUAACAGGACUCCGGUAUUCAUCGCGUGACAUUUCCCCGAAGGGACAGACACAGGAACGAGGAAGGACACAUGCCGGCCAGCCUAAGUGUUCCGGAGCAGUAGCAAGCUACCAUGGCUCGGUGGAAACACUAGGAGACAUUUCCCGGUAAGAGAGGCUAGUAAAGAUAAACAACUAGAUGGUCAGAUCCCACACAUACCAAGCAUUUCAAUAACAUACACACAAUAUGCUCGAUAUGUGCAAUACAACAUGGCAUCACAAAAUGACUCUACGACUCAAGUAGUUUAUUCAAUAGGCUCCGAGGAGCGAGAUAUUACAAACAUGGGUCUCAUGACCCAACACUCAGAGCAUACAAGUCAAAGCACAAGCGGAAGCUAUCAUGUCUGAGUACAGACAUCUAUAAAUGAAAAAGGCUGAGAAGCCUGACUAUCUACCAGAUCCUGCCGAGGGCACAAGAUCGUAGCUGAGGUAACAAGCUAAACGUCGAAGUCCACGUGGAACUACUAGUGAGACUGAAGUCUCUCUGCAAAAACAUAAAAUAGGCAAACGUGAGUACAAAUGUACCCAGCAAGACUUACAUCAGAACUAACUACAUAUGCAUCAUUAUCAACAAAGGGGUGGUGGGGUUUAACUGCAGCAAACCAGCUUUGACUCGGUGGCUAUCCUAAACUACGACUGCAAUGUAACUCUUUUGAGGUGGCGCACACGAGUCCACAUAUUCACCAUAUCAAUACACCACUAUGGAUCCGCUCCCGUCUCCCUACGAGAACGCCAUCCAUAGCACUCACGCUUAUCUUGCGUAUUUUAGAGUAUCCACUUUCACUUGUCUAUGAACUGAUAUAAGCAACCCAGAAGUCCUUUUCCGCGGACACGGCUAUUCGAAUAGAUCAUAUUAACCCUGCAGGGGUGUACUUCUUCAUACAUGUUUCCACCACUUAGCGUCUGCACACGACAUGUGCUCGGCAGACUUCAAGCGAAAGCCGACGUGGGUGUAGACCACGACCUACCUAAACACUCAAGUCUCUAGUCCAGGUUUAUCGCCUAUUCGGGUUCCAUCCAUGAGGAGAUCCGGCCGGAGUUUCGCUCACAGCCCCAAACGAUGUGAACAGGGUUCCCGAGACACCAAACGGGCGCCCGGUACACCGUGCCACGUGCCUACCGCAUCACAGCCCACCCCUACGGUCAGCGCUGUCCACGGCCUCCAGCAUACUACAAACACCAGAAACUACUUGCAACUCCUGGACAGAGAACAAGGGUGAAUAAGAAGUCGAGCGGGGUCAUAUUUCAGGGCCCAAUGUAUGGUAGUAGCUGAAUCAUGGAUCACAAACACAGAACUCAGUUCCUGAGGACGGCUACAAUGAGACAACCCACCAUGUACUCCUACAUGGCCUCUCACCGCUACCUUUACCAAAUCGUGUUCACACACUUAGCUCACACACAGUAGGACAUGUUCACACACCUCUGAUUCAUCCCCGAUGAAUCAGACCUGACUCAACUCUAAGCAGUAGCAGGCAUGACAAACAAGCAUGAAUGAGUAGGCACAACAGGGCUCAAACAACUCCUACUCAUGCUAGUGGGUUUCAUCUAUUUACUGUGGAAUGACAGGUCAUGCAGAGGAUAAAGGGGUUCAGCUACCGCAGCAGGUAACGAUAUGUCGUUGUUGUCCUAAUGCAGUAAAAGAGAGCAGGAGCGAGAGAGUAGGAUUGUAUCGGAAUGAACAAGGGGGUUUUGCUUGCCUGGCACUUCUGAAGAUAACAUUGAGUCUUCAUCAGUGUCAACGAUCACAUCAUCGGGUAUCACGUCUAUCGAGAGGGGACAAAUACCGGCAACACAAAAGGAACACAAUCAAUGCAAUGCACAAUAUGAUGCAUGAUCAUGACAUGGCAAAAUGAAUGUGUUUUGGGCUAAUGCAGCUAAAACCAGAUUAAAUGAAGUUGGUUUGAAUCCAAGAUUCAAAUUCAAACUCCAUAUGUGAUUAUUUAAAUGUCAUUCACUUCAUUUGCUCUAAACAGUAGUGAUAAGUUGUUCUAACAUGCAUGAAAAUGGUACAGAUGGAUUCCUUGAAUUUUUCUGAUAAUUUUUCAUAUAUAAUUUAUUUAAUUUGGAGUUACGGUUAAUUUUCUAUGAUUUUUAGAAGUUUUAGGCAUUUUCUGGAAUUUCCUGAUUAUUUUUUUAAAUCCCGAAAAUACUUAUUGCGUCAGCAUUGCGUCACUAUGACGUCAGCAGGUCAACAGACGCUGCUGCUGGUCAAACCUGACGUGUGGGGGCCACACAUCAGUGACACAGGGCUAGUUAGUGUCAAUGGCAGGUGGGGCCGGGUCAAAGGCCACGUCAUCAAGUCAACUCUGUCAUGUGGGGCCAGUCAACGUGUGACGUGGCCAGGUCAAACUGACCUGUGGGCCCGUGGGGGUUAGUUUAACACUUAACAGAAAAUAAUAAAUAUUAACUAAGGCGUGGGGCCCACUUGGCAGUGGCUCUAGUGGGUGAUUAGCGGGGUGUUUACGCCCUAACUAAGUGGCCACGUCGGCGAGUGACGCCGGCGACCACGGCGACGGCGAGACCUCGCCGGAGUUGCUCGGGACGGCGCUACGGCCCGCGGCUGGUCGCGCUGAGGGCACCAAGAGGAAGCCCGUGCUCCCGCGCAUCUAGGGGGACCCACGAGAGGGCGUGGGGUGGCCGGAGUUGAGCGCGGCAUCGACCCCGGCGGCGGCCGGAGCUCGGGGGUUCGCGGGACCGGCGCUGCGGUGUGCAAACAAGACGGUGGUCGCGCUAGUUUUACUCUACGGGACGCAACGAGUGCAACGGACGCAGGCGUGGGACCAAAAGGUCACCGGAGCUUCACCGGCGACGAGCCCGUGCGGCGGAGCGUCUCGGCUCCGGUGGAGGGAGCGGCUAGGGGGCGAAUUAGGCAACGAGGCAUGGGGAAAACGAUGCAGCGGCUCACCGCGGUUCUUCUGGUGCUGCUGGCGAGGCAGGGGAGGCACGGGGUCNNNNNNNNNNNNNNNNNNNNNNNNNNNNNNNNNNNNNNNNNNNNNNNNNNNNNNNNNNNNNNNNNNNNNNNNNNNNNNNNNNNNNNNNNNNNNNNNNNNNNNNNNNNNUUCUGUUUUCUAUUUUGCAGGUUUGUUUUGAAUUUGGUUUUGAAACCAAUUCAAUUUAUUUUGCUUCUGACAAUAUUUUUAGGAGCUAAAAGAAUUAAAACAAUGCUCCACAAAAUAUUUCAGAAUUAUUGGACCUAUAUUUAUUUAAUAGUAGAUAUAAAUCCAAUUCAAAUAAUUAUUGAUUUAAUUCAAAUGCCCAAAUUAAAUGUUUCUGAGACACCAAAAAUAUUGGUUUGGAUUUUACCUCUUGCCAAUAUUUCCAGAGGAUAUCAGGAACAUUUUCUUGGACACAUUUGAGAAGAUUUAAUUGUUGGUUAUUUUUAGAGGUUUCUGAGGCUUUGAAAAUUCCUCAAUUCAAAUUUCAUUUGAAUUUAGACAUGAUGCAGCAAGAGGUCUAGCCUAGUGCAUUACCAGAAGCUAGGGAUGUGACAGACAUGUUGUAUCCUUGACCUCUUAUAUAUGAGGAGGCACCCCAUGUUGUAACCCAUGACGACUAGACAGCGACAGGCUCGCAAGGGGUGCCGGCGUCCGGGUGGCCGGUGUUGCGGUAUCUCGGGAAGUAGCAUCGGUAGUCAUUGCCCCGGGAGUAGGCGAGUUCACCGAACCUCGUUGCAUGCAGUGAAAAACAGGAUUACAGGAGGCAGCAAGCAGGGAGUUCAUGGUUUCCUGUUGCAUUUUCUAUGAUAUGUAUUUUUCCCCAUUCAUCUGUGCUGUGGCAACGUGAUGUGGUCCUCUGCGACCGAGAAUGGGCUGGCGGCUGCAGGGGAGGAGCAGAUACGGCUAACGGCUGUGAUCUCUGCACUGCUGACCCGUGCUGGCAUGUUUGGUCUCCUUCUGAACCGCAACAAUUUUUUAUUAGCAGCAAAAAUCGUGUGUUAUAAAUGAUACACCACGACAUCCAUUACUCGUUCUUUUAGGAUACUUUCAGUUUGGGUACAGUCUUGCAAUGGAUCUUCCUUCUUGAGCCUGGAGAAAUUGUUUGCUUUCUUUGGAAAGUAAAAAAACUGUAGUUUCUUGUUGUUCUUGUCAGAUUUUAACAGUGGUUCAUUUUCAACGAACAGCAGAUUUGAACAAGUGCCUAGCAACAAGUACAGAAUGUAGUCUUUCUAGAAAGAACAUGGACUGAUCCAGUCUCUCUCUCUCUCUCUCUCUCUCUCUCUCUCUCUCUCUCUCUCUCUCUCUCUCUCUCUCUCUCUCUCUCUCUCUCUCUCUCUCAUGAUACCAUCUUAGUUGCAGUGGAAGCUCCAAAACGCGCCAAGGCAGGUACAGUUACAAGUUAAUGUACUGAAACUUUCAACGGUGUCUAGACAGUAGACACAAUAUACAAGAACCUGGCUUCAACAUGCAAGAAUCAUCAGCCCUAUUUAAAUUCCAAAAAGGUACACCUGCCAUUAAUGUUUCUUGUGCACACUUUCAGUUGCUAGCUAGCUGGUUGGGAUCCUUUUCUAAUUAUUAUAGAUUUAUAGUGUUCCCUAUCUGUUGUCAAACUAUCACGGCGCUUAAUAUAGAUGACACUGGAUCUGGUAUACUGAUUCUUAUAGUCCAGCAACUUCCUUAUAUUGUUUGUUCUCUUUGGCUUUUGUGCAGUAACAUGGGCACCCUGCCUGAAGAUGUUUCUAUUGAUAUACUCUGAAGAUGCUUCUGUGCAGUAAUUCAGUAGAACAGCUGCAACAGUGUAUCUGAGAUCAUUUCCAUCAGCAGUCCAGGUUCACUGAGGUUGUUCUAUUCAUGCAAACUUAAGCCUACAAUAAUUUACUGCUGAUACUAUAUACUAGUGGGGACUAGUAAGCAGGAUUUAGCUUGUCGGAGACCUCGGAAUGGACUUUGUUUUCAUAAAUAGACUGACAGAUACAUGUCCAGAUCCAACAGACUGACAGUUUGAUUGUUCAGUCAGUACAGGUUCUGAAAUUCAUGAUGCUUGUGAAAUUCAGGCAAACACCAACCACAAGAAUGAAAUAAAGGAUGACAUAAAGAAGAUUCAGGGAACCACGUCGUGUUCUGACUGCGAUUUCAGAUCAGAACACUCGUGCAGCGGCAGAGCAGGAUGAAACCUUAAUUUACCGUCAGACCGGCCCGUGUCUAUAAACAAACAAUGUCCAGAUGCUUGCAUUUUCCAUCUGCAGUGUGGGAGUAUGGGCAAGCAAAUCUGAUGAAAACAAGUGCUGGGUUCAGAUUUGGGUCCCAAGGAGUAUCUAACUGGACCCCUUUCUCAUCCCUGGCAUGGAAUUGAAGCAACUAGCAUGCUGCUAGCCUGCAAGCGGUUGUAUCAUGUGCCUGCCCCUGCUGUCUAAAUCAUUCAGAUCCUUCCAGCAAGUAACCAUGCAGUGCAGAACAUAACAGGAUAUUGAGAAACCAUGGACGACACAACGAACCCAAUAUUGAUUCCGACGAUAACACCAGCUGCCUGCCUCAUUUUCAUCUGUUUCUGGACAACAUGGGACUGGGGUUGGCAUGUGACUAGCCAAUAAUGUAGCGCAACAUUCCUGCAAAUAUUUUGCUGCCACCUCUGUUCUUCUCAAGUUUUGUAAACAAGUAUCUUCGCAACCAAACGGAAAAUUUUCUUGUUGGGAGAAGCACGUGUAAGCAACAACUUGCUGCCAAUUUGCUAGCACAAUGGAACCAAACUUAUUCUCAAAGAGGAACUGAACUUAUAGUUAAGAAGGAACUGUUUUUUAAAGGAACCUUUUAUGGAUUUCCGGCCAUGUGUCUCUCUCGGAAACGAGAAAAGUUUGUGUUCUAGCUUUUGCAUCGGAGAUGCGCACAACGUACAUGUAGACACAUGCAAACCGGAAACAAACUCGGUAAAAGUUUUAGUUACUAGAAAAACAAGAAAAAAAAAACUCAUGGUGCGACUCGAAGGUUCACGAUGGCAAAAUGCGGAGACUAAAGCCCUGUUCGGUUCCACUCCACUCCCUCGACUCCGCUCCCAGCGUGGAGCAGGCUGUAGCUCGUUUUCACAGAGCGGCUCAAGCCCAGCUCCACAGCUCCACGGAGUGGAGUGGGGCGGAGUGAUUCCAAACAGGGCUUAAAUCGCCAACGAUGAUGAGAGGUGGAGCCAGUGUUAUGCCGUUGGGUUCAAGUGGGUAUUGCUUAGCUAUGAAUCCAGAUAUCCAAUAAAAAUCACGCUUGAACCCGUCAAAUCCCAAUGCGCAAGCCAUGUCUACGGAUGCUUCAAACCUCUCGUCACACGAUCCCUCCACCAACUCAGCAAUCUCCUCAUCUUUGGUCUCCCCUCUUCAUCCGUCUGGCCGACGCAAGACACCAGCAGCAAACCAAUAAUGGCAACCGGCAAGCGUGAAGUGAGAUCACGUCAGCACAUCUUCUCCCUCUUAUUUCUACCUGCUAUGUUUUCUUUGAGAGUUUGAGUGUUAUAGUGUUGCUAGUGGUAUAAAUUAUACUUUACAUUUAAUUAGUUAGUUUAUACCAAACCAUCACAAAAGUCAAUGAGAGGCCAAAUUUUCAGGCUUCACCCAGGGAGGACUAAGUGUAUAUAUGUUGCGUGAAGAUGAGACCAACUACUUUUGCCGAUCAAUUGGAGUAUACAAGUAAUCGACUUCCUUAACCCAUCAAAAAGUCACGGUUGAACCCAUUGACUCCCCAACCGCACUAGUCAAAAGGCUUUUGGCCCAUAUUCAAUGCAAGAAUAAAUGGUUAGUAACUAAAUUCCAUCGGAGUCCUCCUUUCCAACGCGGGGGCAGUGGCUGACCUCCCGGCUACCUAGGGCGGCUGCCCGGGCUCUGCCAUGGACUCUAGCUUAAACAAUACUCCCUCCGUUCCCAAAUACUUGUCUUUCUAGGCAUUUCAAAUGGACUCAACAUAUGGAUGUAUGUAGACAUAUUUUAAAGUGUAGAUUCACUCAUUUUGCGCCGUAUGUAGUCACUUGUUAAAAUCUCUAGAAAGACAAGUAUUUAGGAACGGUGGGAGUAGCAGUAAAUGUACAAAUAACCAUCAUUUUAUUGGGGCAACCAACUGACAGACUAGAACGUAGUGUACAUUGCCCAGGCUCUCCAGCCAAGCUGGCUCCGCCACUGGCUGGGGGCAAUUGCNNNNNNNNNNNNNNNNNNNNNNNNNNNNNNNNNNNNNNNNNNNNNNNNNNNNNNNNNNNNNNNNNNNNNNNNNNNNNNNNNNNNNNNNNNNNNNNNNNNNNNNNNNNNNNNNNNNNNNNNNNNNNNNNNNNNNNNNNNNNNNNNNNNNNNNNNNNNNNNNNNGUUUAUAGUCCACCCAGGCCUUCAGGGAUGAGAUGGUGCUCCUCUCUCGUGGCUCCAGCCGCCUAGGCGAGACCCCUGCCGGCUUCACUUUCCAAACACACUUGGUUUUCGCCGUUGCCUCGGAGGUUGAUCAGCAACAAAGUGAUUCCUGGCUGAAAGAAACAGAAAAGAAGAAGGUUAGUCGGUGGGAUUGUUGUUGGCUAUGAUGAUGAGCGGGUGUCGGUCUGCUUACGGAUUUUUUUCGCAAAAUGUGCAUAGGCGAAAAUCAUGUUGUUGGUGCCACUAAACUUGGUGUUUAGAACUUUGGUUUUCAUCAGUGGGGAAAAUAGUAAAAUAUGUAGAUAUGAGGUGGGCAAACUAUAAAAAUCCCACCGAAGCCCUCCGAAUGUUCUUAACUUCACACUUCUUUCCAACACAUAGCACCACCACUGUUUUAUAAUCUUGGUGUGAGAUGGUAUCAGAUUGUACAAUAGCUAGUUCAUACUCAAGUUCUUAGUGGAAACAUUUCCUAGCUCCGCCCCUGGAGAGAACACGAGUCCCUCACAAGUGUCAACAUUGUUGGGCACGAAUCUCAGCUUCAUGUAUGAUCUUCUUAACUGGUCUUGUAUACCUCAGAUCUCGGGUCCCAACAAUGUUGGUAUAUCAAAUCCUCAGCCAAACAAAGCAACGCCUUGUGAUAGUGAAUUUUGUUUAACACGAUUAUAUGGUCAAUAUGAUGCCUUUGCGCAUAUACCAAAGCUGCAUGUUUUAGAUUGGAAUGUCGCAUUGGCACAACGUUGCAUACACUGAAUUGACAAAAAUGUUGAACUGUUUUGGUGCAAAUUCCAUCUGAAGGUGUCUAGGUAGUCUUUGCAACGGGAUAUUCCAAAGGCAAUCAUAAAGUUAUACCAUGCGAUCAAAUUUUGGGAGACAAGAACCCGGGGAAAUAUGAUGUUGGCUAAGUGUGGUUCCCAAACUAAAUAUUCUACAAGAAUCUCAUUUGAGAUCAAAACAUGGAACAUCUGAAUCUAAAAAUAUCAUGAUUCUCUCUCAUAAAACCAACCGAGAACAUUGUUCCAAAAUGGAAAUGUGUGCACUCCAUUUUUAUAUAAAUAUGUUUUUACAAUACCAAAAGCUAGUCAAGACGACGAGAAUGCACACAAAAGUGAGCAACAACACCAACCAUCGUUCCAACCGGUGNNNNNNNNNNNNNNNNNNNNNNNNNNNNNNNNNNNNNNNNNNNNNNNNNNNNNNNNNNNNNNNNNNNNNNNNNNNNNNNNNNNNNNNNNNNNNNNNNNNNNNNNNNNNNNNNNNNNNNNNNNNNNNNNNNNNNNNNNNNNNNNNNNNNNNNNNNNNNNNNNNNNNNNNNNNNNNNNNNNNNNNNNNNNNNNNNNNNNNNNNNNNNNNNNNNNNNNNNNNNNNNNNNNNNNNNNNNNNNNNNNNNNNNNNNNNNNNNNNNNNNNNNNNNNNNNNNNNNNNNNNNNNNNNNNNNNNNNNNNNNNNNNNNNNNNNNNNNNNNNNNNNNNNNNNNNNNNNNNNNNNNNNNNNNNNNNNNNNNNNNNNNNNNNNNNNNNNNNNNNNGGCGAGAUUUGUGGUCUGGCGGGUUGGCCGUCGACACUCUCGCGGAUGGCUGUGCUAGUUAUGUUUGAUGUCCUGCACUUUGGUGCGUGGAUGACGGCAGGCGGCGACGUUCCUCUUCGACUACAUUGGAUGAAGUUGACAGCGUCAAGAUCUGGUGACCACGGGGAAGAUCCCCGGCCGACAUGCCACAAAAUCACUGUCUUGUCGCUUGCUGCGGCCCGAUUCUCCACAAUCACGUCCAUGUCGUGUAUAAUAUGAUACGCCCGUGAGCUGUUGGUCGGCCCGAUGGCUGUCGAGCAUCUCGUAUGGCACAACACAGUUGUACGGUGGCCACUGCAUCGAUGACUGAAUCAUACAGAUUUGCAAAGGCCACGAGGCAUUUCAUGUCCUACAGACUGAACACUACAACAACUCAACUCUGAAAGAGCAAAAGAGGUGCACAGUUAGACAUCACACUGACAUAGGUUCACUUGGAUGUACAGAGAGAGCAGCACCUUGCCAUGAAGGCGUGCAGCAGUAAAUUAAUUAUAACAAACAAACGGGACAUUUAUGAAUUUUGCAAGGUCGAUAUUUAUCGCUAUUACCUGUGUUUUUAGCUCAUCAGAUUGUAGUACCAUCUCCGCAACGGUCUUCAAUGUCUGCAAUGAUAAGAAACUUUCAACUGCAAGCUUCUGGCAAUGAAUGCAAAUAAUGAAACACAAGUCCCUGCCGACCAGAAGAUCCACUGGAGGCUCCAGUAUAAGCCAUCUACAGGAGAAGUCCAUAGUGUUUGCUGCUCCUUUUUUGUAGGUUAUAAUUAACCUUGGGCUUCUACCUGGGGAAGCUUUUACAGUGUGCACUUUGGGUUCGGUUCUCUUGUGAAAAAACAGUUUAGUAUUCUGCAUUUUUCUCCUGAUAAUUGAAUUCAGCUACUGAAGUAACAUCAGUGUGAGCUAAUUAGGUAAGAUUGCAUACAGUGACCUCGAAGAGAUAUAGACCUAUGUGAAGAAUUUAUGAAGUGAGAACUAGUGGCUGUGCAUGCAACUGUCACCCACUGGUCAAUGUUCGAACUAUCACUCCAAAUUCUCAGCUUACUCUUGCGGUCUUGCCUGACCUCUCCAUGAUCAUGUUCAUUAUGAACAUAUAUGCUCCAUAGUAUGAUCCAAUCAACACAUGUAUUAUCUCACGACUGGAUCAAUUUAUCUGGAAGAAUUUCAGGUUGCCGAGUCUUUUCAAGAACACUACAUCUCACCGGAACAAGGCAAUCAUUACCAUGUCCAAUUCUCGCUAUAAUGGCGAGCCUAUUAGUCGCCAAUAAUGCUCCAAGAUCCUCUAAAAAUCAGCCUCUGUUCAUCGUCAGCUCCAACAAAGGGUAGAAAGUAGAAACAUAAAGCACCCUAAAUAUUUACCAUUAAGAAGGCCACUAGAUAAAAAGGCAAAUUCAUUCUUCAGUUAAGGAAAUAUAAUGACAUGACAUAUGUAGAUUGCUAACUAUUCCCUCUGUCCCAAAAUAUAAGAACGUUUUUAACACUACACUAGUGUCAAAAACGUUCUUAUAUUAUGGGACGGAGGGAGUAUUUGGUACAGAGAAGACCACUAGAUAGUUUAAAUAAAGCAACAUCAAUUCUUGAGGCAACGAAAAUUCACACAUGAGUCAGUUCAGUCGGCACAUAUUUCAAAAGCAGAGCAAAAUUAAUUUCUAAUUUUAGCAUCAUUACAGCAUUAGUCACUUCAGCCCAAAAGAAACCAAGGCAAGCAUAGAGCUCAUGCAACCACAUGACAAUCACAGCUUCCGAUCGUAAUUUGUACUAGAUCGUUGAUGGCGCGCGUUGCUGCGUCCGUCUAUUUUGACUUAAAAGAGUUGUUAGAGAUAUGAAGUAAUUGUAUACAUUUGUUUGCAAUGCUUUUAUAUAUUGUAUUUGUCUCUCCAUUUUAUAGAAUAUGAUGGGAUGUAACUAAAGAGAGAAAUCAAGAAUAUAAUGCUAUGUAACUCAAGAGAAAUCCAGUCUGAUUGAUCUGCAAAAAAGUACUCCCUCCGUCUCAAAAUAAGUGUCUCAACUUUAGUACAACAUUGUACUAAAGUUAGUACAAAGUUGAGAACUUUGUACUAAAGUUAGUACAUAGUUGAAACAUUUAUUUUGAGAUGGAGGGUGUAGUAUUUUGAGUUUUCUCCUUACGUCUAAUAUUUGAGUUGUGGUAUUAAGCGCGGAGAUAUAAAUUAUGAUUGAUAUGCAUGACCUCUUUUUGCCUCCUAAAAAGACCCCCGCAAAGACUCACAUCCUGAUAACUAAAAAGAUGUCGAGGAAAGACAUGAGAGAGAGAAGAAAGGCAGUACAAAUAUUUCAGAACUUCAGGGCGAUAUUUAUUAUCUUGAAAAAUCUCAAUGUGUUAUGGCCAAUAAUACAAGUAUACAUUGUGGUCUAAGGGACAAAUAUUCUGCAUUGCAUCAGGAUAGAUGACUGAAUGUGUACUUGCUCAGAUUUGAGAUUGUAGAAUUCCAUCUGAUCUACAAUAAUAAUAAAAAUUCUGAAACUCAAUAUCAAAUGCCAGUGGGUUGUUGUGAAACAAUGGCUCAAGUUGUGUUACAUCUUAACCAACUUACAAUUGCUUACACUGAAGUACAAACAAAAUACUUGUUAGCAAGGAAAAUCAAUUGAGGAAAUAACUACUUAAGUAGUGUGCCAAGGAGAAGUGCACAACAGUCAUAAUUGAUCCGUAAAUAACAUCGUGUAUGUUGAUGAAAGAAACGAUAAUAACAACAUUACCUACAGAACAUUUUUGCUAGUAUCUGUAAGAGAACAUUUUUGCUAGUAUCAUGUGUUCCACGGAUCUGACCAUGUUUUCUGUGCAGGUCUUGAGGGCAUUGUUAGGUAAUAAACUAAUUAAGAUGGAGACUACAGGUCUGAAUAUAUUACUCACUAAUUAGACUUGCUAGCUAGUACCUCCGUCCAGAUUUAUUAGCCCCCCCACUACUUUGAGCCAAACUUUGACCAUCCAUAUUCCCAGUAAAAUAUAAAAUAUAUGGUACAAAAAGUACACGGUUGGAUUUGUAUUUGAAAGAGCUUUCCGAUGAUACUAUUUUUGUGACAUACUUAAAUUUAUUGGUCAGCCUAAUAAACCCAGAUGGAGGGAGUUGCUAGCUAUGAGAAAACUUGGGAAUCAAUUUGAGGUCCUAAUGAAGAAACUCAUUGAUCUCAUUAGUUAGCCGAUCGAUGCAGCCUUGAUUCACACGUUGGCAAAAGGUAGAGCUGGCCGCUAGCAUGUCGUCUUCUCGUGGGAUUUCAACCUUCUCGGUUAGUAUAUUCCGCUGAGACAUAUAUUUUGCAACUGGAACAGUAAAAAGUAGUCUAGCAGCGAACCCAGGCUACAGAUAAUGGAAAGUGAUUGAGCAAUCACAACCGAAACCAGGGGAGUAAAUGAGUCUCACCUUUGUUUGAAGACGGCCAUUCUAGAAUGCAUGUCGGCAGAUUCAGUAUUUUACUACAACUUACUGUCGAUGAGAAAGUCAAAAUAAAUGGAGUUAGUAAUGAAGUAAACACCUAUUCUGGGCCUAGACUACAAAUGAGUGGGCUGGGUUGUUCAAGAAGAUAGAACACAAGAGCACAAAAAGAAAACAGUUUUGAGCAUCUUGGAUGGAUCUGCUUCAGUUUGUGUCUGGUCAACAUGUUUGUAAGCAAUAUCAAUGGUACUGAAAAUGACUUCUCACAAAUGAUGACAUGCAUGUCAAUAAAGCGAUGAGCCCAAUCUCUGUAUUAUGAUGUUUAUUAAAGACUUGCGAAGCUAGAGAAGCCAAGUCCUUUCUUUAAUAAAAUAUACAUUGGGCAUCAUCAUUUUGAGUACACAAAUAUAUGGCCAACAAUCAAGAAAAUCGGACAGCUUAUAGGAGAGAAGAGAGCAACGAAAUUUAACAGAGAGGAGACAAAAUUUGUCCAUCGCUCCUAUCUGAAACUCCUAUCUGUCUUUGCUAGAACAUACAAAAGGGGAGGAGGCUAGGAUCUGUAGCAAUUUCGCUGUUGCAUCAAGAUUAUUUCCCACUGCCUCACCUCUAGAAGAAAUUUUCUUCACCCGUCAAUGAUGAGGAGAGAGUUGAGGUCGGAGAGCACGCGAUCGAGGGUCAGGGAGAGCGCAAUAGUCUUUAUGGAGUCGUCGUCGCCUUGUGCACGGCUUAUGCACCCUCGCCGGCGCCGCCUCCUCCUCAGUCACCAAUUCCAACCCCUAGGCUGAUUCCCUCGUGCACUUCGGCUGGAUCCAUCGAGAUGAACACGCGCCGCUGGAUCGCCUCGAUCCCCUCGCGCGGGAUCCCGUCACGCGCCUCAGCUAGAUCCACCAAGAAGAGCGCGCACCCCGGCAGGAUCUCAUCGCCGAUGGCCUGCAUCAACGUGGGAACAAAGCAGAGUGGGAGGAGCUCCAGGCCGCCGUCGCCAUGGGAUGUGGUGCCUCCGCCGCAUCUGGGAAGGUGUCGCGACCCCGCCUCAGAUGAUGCAAUCGCCUUGGAGGGAGGGAGGCGUCGCAGAGGCAGCGAAAUUAGUGGGGAGCGGCGACGGCAAGGGAGAUAGCGGCCGACGGGGUCGACGUCGCCAUUGGAGAGGCCUAGCAGAGCACCAGCCGAGUCGUCUCCUCAGCCUCCAGCUUUGUUAGGUUUCUCGAGGGCUAAGAUAGCAAAGGGGAAGGGGAUAGAAAAAAUGGGUCAGACAGCCCAAUACCGAGCCCGAUCAACCACGCGGCUCCAAUUUUGCCACGGGAGCAGCUGCCCAGCUCAGAUUGCGGGAAGUGCUGCGCGAGAGUUUUAUUCAACGGCCGAAAACUUUAAACAUGAAGAUCUGGCGGCUGUGAAUGCUAAUGGCCUGAGAGAGCUCCUAAGGUGCACAGUUAUAAUGUAUUAAAAUACUUCAAUGGAAACGGAAGAAGUGGCCAGCAGGAUCAUACUCAAUCCAAUUCAUAGAUACCGGAUAUACAACAUCUAGGCCGUCAAGAAGCACCACCUUACUCAACAGGCCUCAGAUGAAAGGCGAAGCGUUAAUAGCAUAACCUUCUAAAGCCGGAAAGAAGGUAUGCUUAACAAGACUCUGCUUGAUCCGAGCUCCAGCCAUAGAGAAGCGUGAGCAACCACGAUAGAAACUGUCAAUCAAUUUGCCAGCACAAUCAAAAUGAAGCAGGCACCCAUAAGCACUAACCAGCAAGAGCACGCCACCAUUCACCAGAACGACGUCCACAUUCCGAUGGUCGUCACAAGCUCCGAACUCCCCCCUGAAUUCCGCAACCGGCGAUUCAAUUUGGUAUUUCACUUCCCAAACCUCGUUGCCGUAGUUUUGCAACACCCAUAUAUCAACAUAUUUUGUGGUGUUGCUCUGGCUAUAGAAGCCAAGUGUGUCACUGAUCUCGAAGAUAUACGAGUCAGUGGAAACAAAUGGAGCACAUAUCAUCCGGAACGACUCCGCUAUGGUGUCGAAUACUAUUACCACCGGUUUGCCGUCACUCUGAUAACGCUUUGGAUACCAGUGCAGGCUAUCAUGCAUCCGGGCCGGUAAGUUGAGGGGGUACGCUGACAAUGUUUCCGGCCACGCGAUGGACCUCGGUGGCCGGUCGGAGCCCAACGCAAAGAUAUAGCAGCAGGUUUGGUAUUUGGGUAAGCCCGUGAAGAUCCUCCGCUGCAGUAAGAGGCGGUACUCGCCGGUAGGCUGGUGCAGGUACAUCCCCAAGGUCUUGAGGAACUUCCAUGGCGCGCGGCAGCCUGAGGUAGGCAUGCUCACGCGUGGCCGGGUUGCAGACCGAGAAGGUCCGAGAGAAAGUCGUGUGGUUGAACUCGGAGAGGACGAGGAGGCCGUCGCAGGAGGCCUCCAGAUCGAAGCGCUUGUCAAACCGGGCGACGGUGUGGAGCUGGGCGUCGGCGGCGGCCCGGUGGUCGAAGGCGAGGAUGCUAUUGUACUUGAUGCUGAGGCCGUCGUCGGGGAAGAUGGGGAGGGCGGGUUGGCGGGCAUGGCGCGCCAGGAGGAAGCGACGGGUGGAGGUGACGAGGCGCCAGGCCCGGCAGACGGCGCGGCAGCGGAAGAGGGUUCUCGGGUCCAGGUGGACGAGGAUCUCCCAGAUGAUGAUCUCAUCUGGGAGGAAACGCGUCGCUCCCCCGGCUGCUGCCUCCUCAGCCUGGUGGAAGCUCGUCCUGGAGGUGUGCUGGUGCCAUGGCCGCCGGCUGGGAGCUCGUCCUGGAGGUGUGCUGGUGACUGGUGCCUGGUGGCGGCGGAGCGGAUGUAGCAAUAGUAUGGUACCUAGAUCUUUCAGGUGGUAGAAACGGAUUUGAGGUGGCCUCGUCUGCAGGUUCCAAACCCUACAAAAGAUUUCUUGUCAGGGAAAAGAACAAAUAUUUCACUAACACAAAACAUGCACAUAAUUCAUGUUCAAAGGUUCAGAACUUCAGAGAAAAAGGAGUGUGCUCAAUUAUUUUGUAAGAACCCAAACAUAUUGUGAACUGCGGAUGGUAACUACACUAAAGUUAUGCGAAUAAUUGACUGAUCAGCAGACCUCCUAAAUUGAAAGGGACACAACUCUUACCAUGGAGAGUUGGAGACUAUAUAAUCUACAUUAUGCACCUAGCUGGAGACUGUCAGCUUGAGUCUUUUUACACAUGUACUCCCUUUGUAAAGAAAUAUAAAACCGUUUAUAAAUCACUAAAGGGAGUAGUAAGGAUUUUGUUUUCCGAUAAUGAUUUGUAGCAAGGAUGAUAUUAAGAGUAGAAAGUAGGGAAGCAGAAUGUGACGCUGCUCACAGCUGAGGACCAUGCACAAGUACAUUUACAAGUCUGGCGGUGGCAAGUUUUCUAGUAAAAGAAAAAAAACAUAAAACCAAGAAACACACUGCUUCUUCGUGUUCUCUCGAAACAGGCUUUAUUCUCCGCUGCAUAUGCUGCAUCCGAUGAAGUUUCAUCGUUCCACCAAUGCCAUUGAUACCUGAGCAAACAUGCUGCGAAUCGCACCUCACCAGACACCACUAUUAUCUAUCAGCUGCUGGUCAAUAGGUGUCUGUCAAUCAUCUCGCACACAUGUAACGGAAUCAGAGACCUGGAAAAUUUAGAUGUAUGGUACCAGCUGAUGGCAGAGUUACAAAGGCAACGAGUCCUUUCAUGCUCCAAACAGACUGGACACUACUACAACACAGAGAAACAAUUGCAGUGCAACAGGUAAACAUGGCAUUUACUAAUUUUUUUGCAGAACAAGAGCAAUAAACGACAGAACGUCAAGGGUUGAUAUAUACCAUUAUUACAAAACUAGGGCAAACGUUGCUCCCAUAUAAGCUAGUACUCUGUGACAACUGGACAUUACUUGUCCAUUAAUCAAUCACAGAAAUAAUAAGAGGAAAAAGAAAAACGCAGCAACUUGGUAUGCGAGACAGAAGAAGAACCAGCGGUCGGGCAUUUUGUCCACCUUGACGAUUAUUCCAGUGUACAGAUAGGCGGGUUCCUGGUGGCAUCUCUCGAGAAACUACUACCAUGGAGGCACUU
This 54225-nucleotide long non-coding RNA is filed under the name Triticum aestivum (bread wheat). Its description in RNAcentral is "long non-coding RNA (TAES_LNC026345)". The stretch from base 48225 to 48311 matches the Rfam family "MIR1120/MIR1122 microRNA precursor family". Lineage: Eukaryota; Viridiplantae; Streptophyta; Magnoliopsida; Poales; Poaceae. The record is from RNAcentral.